UUGUCUUAUGUUGCCACAUUAUUUUUCCCACACUUGCCACACUUGCCUAACCUGAGUUGCUCAAAUUGUUAGACACACUUUGGCUUGCCUAAGGGAAUCUUGCCACAAUAUUUGUGUCUAUGACAUGUGGGGUUCACUGCUAAUAAAAAAAAUCUUGUCUUAGGUGUGGCUUAUAAAAAAGACUUAUAUUUAGGAAUGGAGGGAGUAGAAAAUAUAAAUAAUAAUGCAUGUUGGGGCAACCCACGUUUCCGCUAAUUUUAGCCGUGGGCUUGUUCACAAUUUUUACGAGGGGGUGGUUGUUCAUUUAAUGGAGGGACUUGUAGUACCAGACUUGAACGAUACAAAGUGCGACCUGGCACACCGUAACACCACUUGGAACAAGCGGGUAGCUAUCUCAAAAAACAAUCAACAACUAAAAAAACCGCGACCAGGCAUGUAGUAGUACACAAUUUUAAACGAUUGUUUUGAUGGAGUGAAAAAGGAAAACUACCCCACUAUGUAUAAAUAGGCCGGAGCCUCCGUGCUUGCUUGCUAGGGUUGCUCUAUUCACACACUCUCAUACUCUCCAGAUCUAAACAAGAUAGGGGUAGUAACGCUGUCUUUCUCCCUUCAAAAAACACUGGCUUUCUAUCCUCACCGCUGGUUACAGAUCCGGACGUAUCCCCCUCCGCCGGUGAAGGGGAGGAGGGGCAGCGUUUAGGCCGUCGUCGAUAGCGAGGGAGGAGACCCACUGCCGGCCGCACCGUUAUCUCUGGCCGAGCGCCGGCGCGGGAGGUCCUCCGAUCCCUUCGUCGUUGCCUGUGGGCGGAUCCGGCCUCCCGCCGCCCACCAAUCCACAUCCCGGCGACCUUCAGGUAUAUCUUCGUUCGUAACCGCCUUAGCUCUACUUCCCCAGCUUGCUACGUCGCUGCAUGUGCAUCAUUUUCUACCUCUCAGCCCCUCUCGAUCGGAUGGUCCAACGUCACAUUUUUUUCUUCUAUUGUUAGAGGUAAAGCUACUUCAUGGAGUCGAAUCUUGUACUCCCUCCGUCCGAAAAUACUUGUCAUUGAAAUGGAUGUAUCUAGAUGUAUUUUAGUUCUAGACACAUCCAUUUUGAUGACAAGUAAUUCCGGACGGAGGGAGUACUUGGUUCAAACAAGAAAUAAAGUGGGGGUGGGGGAAUUUAGUAUGUACAUCGGACUUGGUACAAACAGGAAGGAAAGGGGGUGAAAGUAGUACAGACUGGUCAUCCAACCGGUCUCUUGGUCGAAAAGGGAAAUAUAGGGGUAACGCUGUACACAGUGGUAUGACCAGGACUAGAUUUGCUAUCCACACAUAGGAGUAGGUGGCUAGAGUGAACAAAAAUGGGACCAACCCAGGUAUGUUUCUUGGAUGUUUGUUUCUCGGGGCAACAAACUAUGAAUCACCACUUUAUGCCCCUGUUUACGUACAUGGUGCUGGACUGCUGGUGCACCCACUGUCCCAUGCCCUUAUACCAAAUAUUUAGGCUCUGUUCGGAAUAAAGGGGCAGAAAACAUAGGUCUUGAUGAAAAUAGAGGAAUAGGAAGGGAAUGUAGGUAUAAAACUAUGGAACAGCGAACCGGAGGAAACUCUCAAGAGAAUGUGUUCGGAUGGACUACGAAAUGUACAGAUUUGUUUUUUUAGAGUAGCAUGCUUGGCAGUAUGAGAUGCUAUUUGUUUAUUCAGCUGCACAGUGACUACUCUUGUCCUCACCUCAUGUACCACACAUAGGUUGAUAUUUUUAUUCCGGCAACACAGCACAGCAACCUGUUUAACGCAUGGCAGCGAGCGCCUGCCUCGGGCUUCCGCCCAAAAAAUGAGCAGCGCGUGGAUGUUUCUAAUCCUAUGGAAUCAGUACUACCAGACUAGCUUUCCUAUGAAACACUAUUCACCUUUCCCGUGUUCCGAACGGUUGGAAGGGAAAUAAUACCGUAGGAAUUGUGUUCCUACGAAAAUCCUGCACCAAACCUGUGAACCGAACGCAGCCUUAGUUGUUCUUAAUCUAAUGUCCCUCGUAAAAAUGACGCCAUGCCACUGUUAUAAGCCAUGACAAGUUUAGCCAAAUGUUUUUGCCUGUAAUUGUUUGAGACUCUGACUGUUUCCUCUGUGCCUUUUUGUGCAAACAGGGAUAUCCAAUUCACCUGGUUGCUGUUGUGACAUUUUGGUGCACUGCACAAAACUCUUCUUAAAAGAAGUGACUUUUGUGCUGUUUAACUGGAAUGUCAGAAUGGAACAGUUGGUUCAUUUUGGUGGAACUACACAAAGGGAGAUCUGUGUUCCAAUCCUCAUCAUCCAUAUUGGCGCCAUAACCUUCCUUUAGGUAAGAAUGAUAUUUAAUGCAUGUGUUCAUCUCUAUUUUCCGACUGCCAUGAGAAAAUAAUGCUGUUUUUUACUAGUACACUUGUACUCCCUCACUGACAAAACCAAUUCUGAAUUAGAAGGCCAAUCAUGUACUUGGUUUCACCAACUAGUGAGGAGAAAGAGAAACAGAGCAUGAAGAGGAAGAAGAAGAAGAAUAAACAGUGCCAAGGCGAUCUUGCUGAAGCUAGAGGCCUCAGUCGAGGCCAUUCAAGGGCUCCGGCAACGACUACCUUACAUGUGAGACGAUCCUCCAGGGAGCCCUUCCACUUCUACUGUCUCACUUAAUUAAUUAGGAGUACUUAAGUACCACUAAUUUAUUACUGCCUAAUUUUCCUGUUGGAGUUAAACAAAUCUUUAGUAGGACCCUAUGCUGAAUCAUGUACGUGUGUAUGUUUGUCUAUGGAGGUGAAUCAUGUGGUGGAGCAGGGAGGGAAUAUUAUUAGUGUCAUGACAUAAUAGUGCUAUUGUUUUGCAUGUCAAUUUAUUGCCAUUGGUUCAAUGAGGCAAUGUUUUGCGUAUUGUCCAUCAUGAAUUUGAUGCUACUGUUUGAGUAAUAUGCUAAUGUCUUCCUAUCCUUUCUCACUAAGCUAAUGAAGGUUUCACCUUGUUCCUACUUGUGCAAACAGGGAUCAUGUUGUGCCAAUCAUACAUUUUAGUGGAACUACACAAGACAAUACAAUGAACUGUAUCCCAGCCAGUGCUUUAACUCUACUGGAAGUUCUUCAUAAUCUUUCGAUAUAAUCUCAGCACUGGUAAACAAGAGUGAUUUCAACCAUACAUUUGAAGUGCACAAAAAUAUAUACUAUUGUGUGAUUCCAGUGAGUGCUUUAUCAUCUCUUAUGGGACUACAUGAAUAAGCUUUUUUCUCGGGUUGGUACGGGCCUAAGGCCUUCAUCCAUAUUAGUUUGUUGUCAUCUCUAUUUGUAUCGUGCUACUGUCAUGAGAAACUCCUUUAUCUUUGCACGUUAAAGUUUUGCAACCUAUGAUAAAUGGCAAUUCUUUGAGUGUUGAGUUGAGCUAAUUGGCACUGAUUAAAUAAACUAAUACCUCUCUUUAAGCAAGACUACUAUGUUGCUAACUUUACCCAUUAAGAUAAUGAGGGUGCUUCUAUUUGUUAAUGUAUGUUUCAUCAACUAGUCCCACUAUUACAGUAAUCUCACUCUCUCAAUAUAUGUGCCAACAGGGAUGCUCGAUUUUGGUGGAACUGCACAAAAACUUUGGGUGCUUCAUUGCCUCGACAGCUUCCAUCCUUUCCUGUCAGUCGCUAAUCUCUGCUUGCUUUCUUCCUUUGUUGUCAGUCGCUUGGCUUAUCUCGGCUUCCAGUCAAAGGAAAUAGUAAUUGAUAUGCUACCUCACACAGGUUGGUACUGGUCUUUAUCCUGAUUAUUGUGCCUGUCAUAUGUAUUGGUAAUUUGGUAUUGUGCUACUGUUUGCCGAUUUCAUAAACGAGUAAUUUGGAGCCUAAACUCGCAGGAAAAUCAUUACAUUGGGUGAUUUCAGUAGAACUGCACAAAAUGAUCAGAUGGAAAGGUACUUAUGCUGCUGCUAUGUACUCCAAAGUUCACUCAGACAAGCAUCGAUGUUGACAAGAAGUGCAUAUAUUCAUUCGAGUAUCAACCGGCGUCAACCAAUUGUCAAACUCCAAGUAUUAGGAGAGUGAACGCCAAAAAUAUUGCUUGGUGCAUAGCCUAGAAAAACGCAGUCCAGUCUAUGGUCCCAACUUGUGCCUUUUGGUUAUCGGCACAUAUGGUAGCGAACUAUAUGGCAUGGAGUCUAAAGAUUCCAGACAAGUUGGUUGACGCGUAUAUUCAUCUGGCACUUAAUUAGUCUGCACACCAAGGAUGCUCCAUUUCAGUUGAACUGCACAAAAAAUUUAGGUGGUUCAUUUUCUCAACCGCCUCCUUUCUCGUCUGCAAUGUAGAAUUUUGGUGAGAUACAGGACCAAGAUGAGCCAGUAAACUAGUUGGAUGAAAGUAGUGGCCAAGUUGCUCAAACCUCCCUCGGCACGAGGCCACUAUUUGAGGAUAAACCUACAAGCAAAGUUCAGAUUGUCUGUGCUGCCUCUUAUGUACUCGAAAGUUUACUCGUACAAGAACUAAUUUUAGCAAGAAGUGCCUCCGAUUGAACACCAUUUACCAGUCUGUACCCUAGGUAAUUAAAGUUCUUCCAUGGAUCAUAUUGGCUGUGAUCUCAAUCAUUUGGAUGCAUAAACAUACUGAACAUGUGUAUAUCUGAAUCUUUUUGUGUAUUAUGUAUGAAUAUUGUCGUGUGAUCUAUCAAUCAUUUGGAUGCAUAGAUAUGCUGAGCUUGUGUAUAUAUGAAUCUUUUGAGUUGUUGAUAGUAAAUGUUGGCUAUGAAUAUGAACGUGUCCUGUGAACCUGAGUUUGAUAUGAAUGUUUACCUUUUCUGUUGUAUUUGUGUGUGAACUUGUUAGCUAGUAUGCCUACUGUGGGGUAUAAAACGCAGGUCUCUUAUAAAAGUAAUGCUGUGUCCAAUUUAUGUUUUCCCUUCUAACCACAUUAUAUAUAUUUAUAUUAUUACUAUUAUCGUAUAUUUUAUAGAGACUUAUAUAUACAUUAUAAAAACAUCCCACGUGUUAUUAACUUAUAAAAGUAAAUGUUUAACGGAAGUUGGCAAGGAAAAUCCUGGUUGUUUUUGACUCACAGGCAAGGAAAAUCCUGGUGAUUACGUACAAAAGCUUGCGAAGAUUUUAAGGACCAAUUUAAUAAUAACGCGCUCAUUUUUAUUUAGAGCAAUAACUCGCUAAUUUCUUAAUUAUAUAUAUAUAUAAAAUGUGCCUCUCCGGUUUGUUCUUUGAUAUUAAUUGCUACUUCUAACAUAACAUUAUAUAUAUAACGAGCCCACCUAAUACGUGUAUUUCAAGGAAGUGCAAAUGGGCUGGGAUUUCUUAGAAAAUAUAAAUGGGCCUGAUUGACAUGAAAUUAUUUGUUCACCCAGCCCAGCAAAUGGACUGUACAUUCUAGAAAACAUGGGUUAAAUAUAUGCCACAUUUUUGCAGGCUGACAUGUGGGCCAAUAGGUCGAAGCCUACGCAGGGCGUUGUCAACUUGGUCCACAAAUGAUUGUGUCAUCCACAGCCAUUGGAUUUAUAUCCAACGGCCGGCAUGCACCUUCAAUCUCUCGUCUUCUUCCUCCAGCGUCGCCGGGACCGCCUGGUCCGGCCUCCGGUGGCUAGCGGCUCUGCUUAGCACGCAUCGCUGCGAAGCGCUACAUCACCGCCGGCCAGGCUAUCCCUCCACCCCUCGACACCUCCUGUUAUUCUCCACAGACUACAGCCCCACGCCGCAACAGAACCAGUUAUAACCCUUCUCCUCCUCUCAAUUUGCGACUCCACUGCCGCGUUUUCCCAUCUCCGAGUCGUUCCCGUCCGGGGCCUCGCCAUCGUCCACCGCCUCGCUGCGUUCGGUGCGGCGUGGUCAACAAAAGAGAGUCACCGGAAGAGGACUGUACGUGGAGAGCCUGACAGCUGGGACCCACGAGGUCCAUGGUCGCACGCAAGGAAAGUUCCUCCUUAUUAAGCUGAAAAUAAAUGUUUCCUCCACCUGACAGCUGGGACCCACCGGCUGUAUCUUCGCACGGAAGGAAGUGCCUCCUUGUUUUGCAAAAAAAAAAUUCAUCCCAUUGACAGCUGGGACCCGUCAGAUUUGGUGACUGACUUGUGGGCCUACUAAGCGGACGUGUACGCACGGCUUUGUCAACUUAAUCAACAAAUGAUUCUAGCAGCUGGACCGUUGGAUGUUAAUCCAACAGCCAUGCUCCUUCUUCAACCUCUGUUCUUGCUCCUGUCUCCCGUGGGCAGCACCGCGGCUGUGCUACCGCGCACCCGAACCAGUGAAGUUUCCCACUCCUCUCCAUCUGCGACUCCACUGCCCCGUCUUCCCCGGGUCGUUCCAGUCUGGGUGCGCUCGGCACGGUGUGGUCAACGUGGUCAACAACCGAGAGUCAUCGAAAGAUGACUGUACGUGAGAGGCUGAGAGUGGGGACGCACCACGCCCAUGGACGCAUGCAUGCAACGGAACGCGGCAAGGUCAACGUGGUCAAGGAACGACUUCCAUCGGAAGUAUACUGUACGUGGAGAGUCUCAGCUGGGUCCACGGCCGCAGCAAGUAAGUGCCUCCUUAUUACGCGAAAAAUAAUGAUUCCUCCAACUCAUAGCAGGGACCCACUGGAGGGGCCACCGUAUUUUGCGAAAAAAAUGUUUGCCCCCUGACUGCUGGGACCCACCUGACAGGCCAUCGUAUUUCGCGAAAAAAACGUUCCCCCCGCUGUUAACUCGGACCCACCGGAAGUGCCUCCUUAUUAGGCACAAAAAAUGAAUACUCCCCCGGCUAGCUGGGACCCACCUUGGUGGGAGGCUUACUUGUGGGCCUACUAAGUUGACCGGGACGAAGGGCUUUGUCAACUUAGUCAAUAUGAACGAUUCUAGCUCCAGUGACCGUACAAUGUCCAUCCAACGGCCGUAGUGCUUCUUCAACCUUUGGUCUUCUUGCUCCAGCCGCCCAAAGCAGCGCCGGUCGUGCCGCAUGCUCCUGCCUCCCGUGGCAGGCUGUGCUGCCGCGGAGGCCUCACCGCCCCCUACUAUUCCCACCGCUGGCCAGGCCCUGCGGCGACGGCAGCCUCACACCGCAGCCGAACCAGUGAACCCUCAUACUCCUCUCCGCGCGGGCUUCCACUGCCGCGUCUUCCCCGGCUCCGCGUCGUCCCCUUCCUAGGCCUCGCCGUCGUCCACCGCCGUUGUGCUCUCCGCGCGGCGUGGUCAACAUGGUCAAGGAACGACUUCCAUCGGAAGAGUACUGUACGUGGAGAGGCUGACAGCUGGGUCCACGGCCACAGCCUAUUUUUUUGUGAUUUGCCAAGUAAGUCGCUUUGUUAGGCCUGUUGGGCUGCAAAUCUUUCAAGACGAGGAGAGCUUUCAUUCGGCUGGCCGAGAAAAUGGCCCAUCAGUAAUGAGAAAUGGGCUGUACAUUUUUAAAACACAUCAAACCGGCAAUUAGUUUCAAAUAUCUUUUUUUAUUUCGAGAUUUUAAAUUACAUUAAUUUUUAUGCGUGGAGAAUUUGUUGGAUUUUAUAUUGAUAUACAUUUAUUUUUAAAAUCAGUUUGAAUGUGAGUCGAAAUUUCGGGAUUAAAAACAGUUCGGACCACACCGAAAUAUGCAAAACUUCGUAUAAUUUUUUAACCGUGGCCACAAUAUGGGCUAUAAUGCUAACAAAAAGAAUAUGGGCUCCAAAAAACCUUAAUAAUUAGCAAAUGGGCUGUAAAUUAUUAGAAAUAAUGGCAGAUGGGUUGUAUGCUGUUUUCCACAGAUUUGAGGCUUUCCUAAAAAAAGGUUGACGCACAAGCAGUGACUGUUGGAUGGCCAUCCAACGACCAUCAUGCUUCUUCAAUCUCUACUCUUCCUGCUCCAGCCGCUCAAACAAGCGCCGGCGGGACUGCCUGCUCCCUCCUCCCCGCGGCCGGCUCUGCUGCCGCGCAGGCCCACCGCCCCACCGUACUCCCAUCGCUGGCCUAGCCAUCCCUCUACUCACCCACACCUGCUGUUAUUCUCCGGCGACGGCAGACGAACCAGUAAACCCUCGUACAGUCGUACUCCCCUCCGCGUGGGAAACAACUGCCGAGUCUUCCCUGCCUCCGUGUCGUUCCCUUCCUAGGCCUCGCCGUCGUCCACCGCCCUGGUGCUCUCGGCGCGGCCUGGUCAACGUGGUCAACGAACGACAUGCAUCUGAAGUGGACUAUACGUGGAGAGGCCGACAGCUGGGUCCACGGCCACACGCAAGGAAAUGCCUCCUUAUUACGCGCAAAAUAAUGAUUCCUCCACCUGACAUCAGGGACCCACCGAAAGGGCCUCUGUAUUUCACGAAAAAAAUGUUACCGCCGCUGACAGCUCGGACCCACCAGCUAUAUCUUCGCAUGCAAGGAAGUGCCUCCUUAUUACGCACCCAAAAAAUGAAUACUCCCCCUGUUAGCUGGGACCCAGUAUAGUGGCGGGCUGACUUGUGGGCCUACUAAGUUGACGGGGACGGAGGGCUUUGUCAACUUAGUCAAUAUGCACGAUUCUAGCUCCAGUGACCGUACGAUGUCCAUCCAACGGCCGUAGUGCUUCUUCAACCUCUGGUCUUCUUGCUCCAGCCGCCCAAACCAGCGCCGGUCGUGCCUCGUGCUCCUGCCUCCCGUGGCCGGCUGCGAUGCGGCGGAGGCCUCACCGCCCCCUACUACUCCCACCGCUGGCCAGGCCAUCCCUCUACUCACCCACACCCCCUGUUAUUCUGCGGCGACGGCAGCCUCACACCGCAGCGAACCAGUGAACCCUCGUACUCCUCUACGCGUGGGCAUCCACUGCCGCGUCUUCCCCGGCUCUGCGCCGUCCCCUUCCUAGGCCUCGCCGUCGUCCACUGCCCUGGUGCUCUCGGCGCGGCGUGGUCAACGUGGUCAAGGAACGGCUUCCAUCGGACGUGGACUGUACGUGGAGAGGCUGACAGCUGGGUCCACGGCCGCAGCAAGGAAGUGCCUCCUUAUUACGUGCAAAAUAAUUAUUCCUCCAUCUGACAGCAGGGACCCACUGGACGGGCCACCGUAUUUCGUGAAAAAAAAUGUUUGCCCAUGACUGCUGGGACCCACCAGCUAGAUCUUCGCACGCAAGGAAGUGCGUCCGGGCAAGAAAAAACGAUUCGCCCCCUGACUGCUGGGACCCACCAGCUACAUCUUCGCAGGCAAGGAAGUGCCUGACAGUCGGGACCCACCUGGUCGAAGCAUACGUAGCGUUGUCAUUCUGGUCGCGAACGUGUACGUACAUAUAUACUGGUGGAUGUAGAGGUGCGCACGUGUCGUAGUAGAGGCGCGCACGUAGCAUGUACACGUACGUACAGCGGCCAGGGUGCAAGAAAGAAAAUACGGCCACGUAUGUGUACAUACGGGCGGGGUCUCGAACGCCUACUCGCGCAUACGUACGGCCAGGGCUCGUGUACAUGGCUGGGUCGGAAUGGAGAAAUAGCGUCGUCGUCGUGUUCAUGGGGAGGCAAAGGAAUGCGUCGUGUUCAUGGGGAGGCAGCGGAAUGCAUUGUGUUCAUUGGGAGGCAACGGAACGCGUGGGAGCCAACCGGCUGGGUCGGAACGGAAUGCGUGGUCGUGUUCAUCGGGAGGGCUUGGACGGAACAGGCGAUGGAAACGAGGCCUGGCGUACCGCACAACAGAGGAAACGGACCUCCUACAUUCGGAACGGGGUCCUGUUGAUCGGGAGGGGUGUGGCGUACCGCAAAAUAGAGGAAACGGACCUCCUAUGGUCGAAACUGGGGUCCUGUUGAUCGGGAGGGGUGUGGCGUACCGCAAAACGGCCGAAACGGACCUCCUACGGUCGAAACGGGGGUNNNNNNNNNNNNNNNNNNNNNNNNNNNNNNNNNNNNNNNNNNNNNNNNNNNNNNNNNNNNNNNNNNNNNNNNNNNNNNNNNNNNNNNNNNNNNNNNNNNNNNNNNNNNNNNNNNNNNNNNNNNNNNNNNNNNNNNNNNNNNNNNNNNNNNNNNNNNNNNNNNNNNNNNNNNNNNNNNNNNNNNNNNNNNNNNNNNNNNNNNNNNNNNNNNNNNNNNNNNNNNNNNNNNNNNNNNNNNNNNNNNNNNNNNNNNNNNNNNNNNNNNNNNNNNNNNNNNNNNNNNNNNNNNNNNNNNNNNNNNNNNNNNNNNNNNNNNNNNNNNNNNNNNNNNNNNNNNNNNNNNNNNNNNNNNNNNNNNNNNNNNNNNNNNNNNNNNNNNNNNNNNNNNNNNNNNNNNNNNNNNNNNNNNNNNNNNNNNNNNNNNNNNNNNNNNNNNNNNNNNNNNNNNNNNNNNNNNNNNNNNNNNNNNNNNNNNNNNNNNNNNNNNNNNNNNNNNNNNNNNNNNNNNNNNNNNNNNNNNNNNNNNNNNNNNNNNNNNNNNNNNNNNNNNNNNNNNNNNNNNNNNNNNNNNNNNNNNNNNNNNNNNNNNNNNNNNNNNNNNNNNNNNNNNNNNNNNNNNNNNNNNNNNNNNNNNNNNNNNNNNNNNNNNNNNNNNNNNNNNNNNNNNNNNNNNNNNNNNNNNNNNNNNNNNNNNNNNNNNNNNNNNNNNNNNNNNNNNNNNNNNNNNNNNNNNNNNNNNNNNNNNNNNNNNNNNNNNNNNNNNNNNNNNNNNNNNNNNNNNNNNNNNNNNNNNNNNNNNNNNNNNNNNNNNNNNNNNNNNNNNNNNNNNNNNNNNNNNNNNNNNNNNNNNNNNNNNNNNNNNNNNNNNNNNNNNNNNNNNNNNNNNNNNNNNNNNNNNNNNNNNNNNNNNNNNNNNNNNNNNNNNNNNNNNNNNNNNNNNNCGCUCGAUCGGGUUCAGUUAACAGCCAUCGAUCGAUCGCUCGGGUUCAGUAACGCGUAGCCUGCAGUGCAAUCGCUCGGGUUCGGUUAGAGCCCAAUGCCUCGCUCAGGUUCAGUUAGAGCCAACGCCUCGCACACACGCGCGUACGUGUACGAGAGAAACUCGCAUCGCUUGGCCCCCAACCUCCCACCGUAACCGGGAACUCCCCGAAAUUUUCCUCACCCUCGCUUCUACCAUGUUUUUUUCCAUCAUGGACGGCCCAAAGAAUGUCAUGCAGCUGCGUCUCCGGCCCGCCCAGGACGAAAAGCCCAUUUUCUGUCAUGAUUUUUUGUCAUAGAAGUAGGAGCCCACCACAUCUAUGAUGAUACCGGGUUUUGUCACAAUUAUCGUCAUAGAAGUGUCAUAUGUAUGACAGAAAAAAAAUUCGUUCGGCCCAAAAUGUCACGGAUGUGUCUUUUUUUGUAGUGACACAUCCUUUUCCUCAGAGGUUGACGGCAAAAGAAAGGGCCAACUAUGCUCCCCAAUUAUCAAAGCUUAGAGCCUUCAUGGCGAACGGUUUGACAGGAGUUGAUCUUGCUCGUUGCUGGAAAAGCUGGAGUAUUCUGCCCUUAAGCCGGCGCUCCGGUUUGAUGUGUGAGUAUACGGGGAGUUUGAAGGAUGCUCAGCGGCACAUUGACAUUCAGCUUACAGAUGCAGAAGUCACUGAGGCUGUAAAGAAAAUGCUGAACGAGCCGGAGGCUGUCUGUGCUCAAACCGGAGUACCCCCUUUCUGAGCUUUCAACAAACCGCCAGCUGUAAGAAUCAUAUAAUCUUUUUAUCUGAAGUUGCUUUUGUCCAAAUAUUCUCUGAAAGUGUGAUUUUUUUCUGACAGGGUGAUGAUCCAUUCUGGAACAAGAAACCACCACAAGACAAACCGGUCAAGCCACAAGAUAAACUGGUCAAGCCAGUUCGUCCAAAGACCAAGGUUAUCAAAAAACCUGCGAAGAAAAGGACCAUUGCAUCCUCCGAGCUACCAGCUGAUGACGAUGUGGGUAAUCCAGAAUCAGAUGUAGAACUUGACUCUCUUGGUUCAUUUUUUGUACAUCUCAUAGACAAUGAUUAUUAUCAGGACGACGCUGAAGGCAGUUAUGCUGAUGACAUAGAGGUAACCAUUCUUUCCUCCGAUUCAGAUCCUCUGCCAACAUCAAAAAUCCGUCAAGCAAACCGGAAAGUAAAAUUUUCUCACCCCCUUGCUUACUUGGACCCAAACUUUCUUUUGGAGACGCAGCAGCACGAGGCUCGCCGCACAACCCGGCACAGCGGCCAGGUAGUUACCUCCGCCGGUUUACCAAACGGGCCGGUUCGGAAACGCCGAUCAGAGGUCUCUUAUCCCAUUGAUACUUCAUGCCCCAAAGCAGGUUGUUUCCGCCAGCCUCUUAACCCGUCUGAUUCAAAUUAUCAAGGUACUUCUCACUCAUCUUCUGGCGAAUCGUCGGCCACAAAACUUCCACCCCUCAAAACGGUUCUUGGGUGAGCUAUACACUUGUUGUUAUCCUUGAUGUUGCUAUUUUGAUAUACUGUACUGAUCCUCAUGUUUAUUUUUCUCAGCGCCAAGCCCAGACCCAGCAAGAAAGCUCGGUUGAAUAAACCGGCUGAUGAAGACGUGGCUGUUGAACCGGAGAAAACUCCAGAUCCUGAAGAGACCAACAUUGAUGCCAUACUGAAUGACCCACUGCCUCAAGAUCAUGACUUCGUUGCUGAGCAGGCAGAAGUUGACACCACAAGCCAUGUUGACCAGCCAACCAGCCCUGUCCGAACUGACAAUAAACCGGCAAGCCCAGUUAAAAAUACUGACAAACCGCCAACCCCAGUAACGGCUGCUGAUGACAAAGAUGAUGACAUUAUGAUUACUGGCACUGGCUAUACUGCUCCGGGCAAUCCUGUCGCUUUGUCAAAGCAUACUGCCAAAGAUGAGCUCUCUGCAAUUGGCAAAGGCAAAUGGAAUGCCGAUUUGUCAAAUUAUGCCCAUCUGAAUGUUCAAGACCUUCACUCUGGCUUCCUGAACCGUCUGUACACCAGCCGUGACUAUGAAGCCGGUUUGGUAAAUAUGAUGAAGGAGCGAUAUGAGGUAACUUCAUAAGUGUUUCUCUCUUAUAUUUAAUUGCAGCUUAUCAACUGCAGUAGCUCCCAAGUGACGGUUUAAGAUACCAAUUUAAACCGGGACUUAGUAACAAUUUCCUGUUUGCAAUAAUGCAUCUUAACUUCACUGAUGUAGCCCCCAAGGGCCGGUUUAAUUUUAUAAAGAUGAACCGGGACUUUGUAGAAGAAUUCCCAUAUCAGCAUUUUAUGAGCAAAUACACAUUAGCCCCCAAGUGCCAAGCUUAAUACUUGUAUUGUGCUUGGGACUUGUAAAAAUUUCUGAUAAAGAGCAAAUAUGCAUUAGCCCCCAAGUACUAAGGGCAUAACUUGUUAUAUGCUUGGUACUUCAAAUAUGUACUGUCAACUCAUUAUAUAUCUGUCUCUUUAUAGGCUGAACUGAGCAAGAAGGAAAGCCAAACCGCUGAUCUGCAGGAGAACCUCAAGUCCCAACAAGCUGAAACCUCCAAAGCGAAGGAAGAAUUGACCUGCGCUCUAGGCGCUAUGGAGAAACUGAAAGAGGGCUUCAACAAAGAGCGGGCGGUUUAGGAGACUGAAAAAUCCGCUUUGAUAAAAAGGGCUGAAAAAGCAGAAGCCGCUCUUAAACCGGUGGUUGAUGAACUGACCGGCGUAAAGCGGCAGAUUCAUGCCAUGACUGCUGCUGUGUUCGGUAAAAUAUCUUUUCCUUAAUACUUUCAACAUAUCUCUCCCAUGUGUUGUCAGUUUACUGAUGUGUACAAUGGUGCAGGAACUCGCAUUAGCCAUCUGGGCUCUGACGUACAGAAGAAAUUGAAAGCGGCCUAUACUCUGAUAGAGCAGCUGUAUACCGGUGCGCAACGGAUCAUCUGCAUCGCUUCACACAACAAACCUCCUCCAACAUUGAUCAAGGACACCUUAGAAAGGCUAUCCAUGCUGCCUGCCCGGGUUGAAGAACUAAAGAUAGCUGCGGCAAGGGCCGGAGCUCUGACGUACAGAAGAUUGAUAUAUUGGAAGCCUAUGUUUGGACAUCGGAAGUGUUCCGGGUGAAAUCGGGAUUUUUCCGGAGUACCGGGAGGUUACCGGAACCCCCCGGUAACUUAAUGGGCCUUAGUGGGCCUAGGUGGAAGAGAGGAGAGGAGGCCAGGGCAGGGCCGCGCACCCCUUCCCCCCCAGUCCGAAUAGGACAAGGAGAGGGGGGGCGGCGCCCCCCCUUCCUUCCUCCCCUCCACCUCUUCCCCCUCUCUCCUAGUCCAACAUGGAAAAGGGGGGGAGUCCUACUCCCGGUAGGAGUAGGACUCCUCCUAGGCGCGCCUCUCCUCCUUGGCCGGUGGCCUCCCCCUUGCUCCUUUAUAUACGGGGGCAGGGGGCACCUCUCGACACACAAUUGAUCAACGAUCUUUUAGCCGUAUGCGGUGCCCCCCUCCACCAUAUUACACCUCGAUAAUAUCGUAGCGGAGCUUAGGCGAAGCCCUGCGUCUGUAGAACAUCAUCAUCGUCACCACGCCGUCGUGCUGACGAAACUCUCCCUCAACACUCGGCUGGAUCGGAGUUCGAGGGACGUCAUCGAGCUGAACGUGUGCUGAACUCGGAGGUGCCGUACGUUCGGUACUUGAUCGGUCGGAUCGUGAAGACGUACGACUACAUCAACCGUGUUGUGUUAACGCUUCCGCUAUCGGUCUACGAGGGUACGUAGACAACACUCUCCCCUCUCGUUGCUAUGCAUCACCAUGAUCUUGCGUGUUCGUAGGAAAUUUUUUGAAAUUACUACGUUCCCCAACAUUAUGAUACCAAUUUAAACCGGGACUUAGUAACAAUUUCAUGUUUGCAGCAAUGCAUCUUAACUUCACUGAUGUAGCCCCCAAGGGCCGGUUUAACUUUAUAAAGAUGAACCGGGACUUUGUAGAAGAAUUCCCAUAUCAGCAUUUUAUGAGCAAAUACACAUUAGCCCCCAAGUGUCAAGCUUAAUACUUGUAUUGUGCUUGGGACAUGUAAAAAUUUCUGAUUAAGAGCAAAUAUGCAUUAGCCCCCAAGUACUAAGGGCAUAACUUGUUAUGUGCUUGGUACUUCAAAUAUGUACUAUCAACUCAUUAUAUAUCUGUCUCUUUAUAGGCUGAACUGAGCAAGAAGGAAAGCCAAACCGCUGAUCUGCAAGAGAACAUCAAGUCCCAACAGGCUGAAACUUCCAAAGCAAAAGGUGUGGUGACGAGCGCCUUAGCCGCUAUGGAAAAGCUAAAGGAGAGCUUCGCCAAGGAGCGGGCGGAUUGGAACACAGAGAAAUCCGCUUUGCGGAAAAGAGCUGAAGAUGCAGAAGCAGCUCUCAAACCGGUGGUAGACGAGCUGACUGGUGUAAAACGGCAAGUACAUGCUAUGACCGCUGCUGUGUUUGGUAAGCAUCCUUGCUUUAUACUUUCAACAUAUCUUCCCAUGUGUUGCUGGUUUAUUGACGUUUCUAAUGAUGCAGGAACUCGUAUUAGCCAUCUGGGCUCUGACGUACAGAAGAAAUUGAAAGCAGCCUAUACUCUGAUAGAACAGCUGUAUGCCGGUGCGCAGCGGAUCAUCUGCACCGCUGCACACAAUAAACCUCCUCCAACAUUGAUCAAGGACACCUUAGAAAGGCUAUCCAUGCUGCCUGCCCGGGUUGAAGAACUAAAGAAAGCUGCGGCAUGGGCCGGAGCUCUGACCGCUCUAACCCGGGCAAAGGCGUGGGUGCCUGAUCUUGAUCCGGUGGAUGUGGCUAAAGGCUUCCCAAGCUUAAAAGAAGACGGAUCAGAAUUUGGCCAGGAGGAUCUCCGCGCCAUAAACCGGGAAGUACGUCCACUGGCUUGUCAAUUGGCUGAAGAAGCUGAUCUCUCAUACUAUCAGGCAAGUUAUGAUGACAAGAACAGACGGGUUGCUGCACCAAUUCCGGAAGCGCAAAAUCUGAUCCCUCCAAUUCGUAAGCACACUUAUGCCCCUGAUAUUGAACCGUCCACCCUUAUAAGCGACGAAGGUGUGUUCCAAGCUUUAACUAGGAUCGACUGGGCAACUGUUGACUUCCAGCCGCUGGGUAGAGACGAAGAAGAUGAAUCGGCGCCAGAUGAUCCGCAGCCGUCAGGUCAAGCUGAUAAGAAAUCAUAAUUCGGGGGCCGGUUUAGUCUUCCACGUGCUGCAAUGCUUAUUGAGAAACAAUUAUCCCUUUGGGCACUGAAACGCCUUGUAAUAGGCUAGUCAAAACACUUGGUCUGUUAUGCCUUCGUGCAUAUUUAUCUGCAACUGAUGCGUGCUAAUCCGCCAUGCUUAAGAUAUGAUGUUCAUAAUCCAUAGCUAUUUAUUCAAGUUGUUCCUACAGAUAAGAAGCUUAAAGCGCCCUGGCGGUUUACCACCGGGCGGGUCAUGAUACCCAAAUAUAUAUAUGACCAAGGUUUAUAACCAAGGUUGUAAAAGAUAACCAAAUAUGGAAAUAUAUGAUACCUGUGACCUUUAGGCAUAGUGUUGGCUGACCAACUGUGUAAUGAGGGUAAUAACCCUAAUUCGGAGUAGAAGUAACUCCUGUUAUAUGAUGCCGAUUUAUCAGAAAACCAUUCUGGGCUGUGAUAAACACCGGUUUACUCCAUACUGGUGACUUUGAGUCAGAACUAGACUGGGCUGAUAGUCUCCAGAUUAUAAUUUGAUCGUGUACUGACAACUUGUAGUUGACAGCCUAACCGGGUUGAUAAACACCGGUUUUAAAAACAUCACAAAUCUUAUGAAACAAAGAAAACUUAGCAAACGGCAAAUAAAACCGUCGUAGUCGAGGCUUUUCACGGGCUGCCAGGCCCCAAAUUCAAGGCUUUUCAUGGGCUGCCAGGCCACUGAGUUAAACCAUUUUUGCAAAGCCUUUUAAGAUGGUCCUCAAUCCUUAACCAAUCAUCGUUUUAACUUGACAAGUUCAGGGUCUUCAUUUUAGAGUAACUUUUCAAAGUUCGAAGGGUCAUACCAGGUUUACCUGGGCAGAGUGACUUACUUAAAUAGGCAGGUUAACCUGGGGUUUUAGGUGUAUACACUAGGCUUCCAAGCCAUGGCUUGAUAGCCUGUUACAAGUGUAGAUUCUGAGUUCAUUUCGACAACAAAGAAUCCCCAAGCAACAUUGUGAGCUGUGCUCAGUGGGUGCCUAUGUUUGAGCUGUUGUUUUACAACACUCUCUUUGGCCCCGGAUUGAUGUGGCUUUGAGCCGAUCAAGAGGUGUAGCUAUGGUUCGGAUACGACCAAGCCCCCAAGUGAUGUUGUGGCAUUGCGUCGAUCAAGAGGUGUAGCUAUGGUUCGGAUACGACCAAGCCCCCAAGUGAUGCUGUGGCAUUGCGCCGAUCAAGAGGUGUGCUAUGGUUCGGAUACGACCAAGCCCCCAAGUGAUCUAAUAUAAAGCUUUGAGAAGCUAAAUCAAGGGGUAAACCAGACGCCGCUUUGUAAGCUCCAUGUAACCACACAUGAUGUAAGAAAAACAACAGAUACCCCGCUUUAGCUCAGGUUCCGGUUUAUUAUAUUGAUCAUAAUAUAUACAAUGUCAUAAUAUGUACAUAAGCAGAGCCUGUAGCUCAAGUAUAGUAGGGCCGAAGAUGAGCAAUAUUCCACGGCCGGUUGGUCUCCUCCUCCGAUUUACGUGAGUCUUUGCGCUCUCGAACAUCGAUUAGGUAGUAUGAUCCAUUGUGUAGAUUCGUGCUAACCACAAAGGGUCCUUCCCAGGGGGGGAUAGCUUGUGCAUGUCCGUCUGAUCCUGGAUGAGUCGAAGCACCAAAUCGCCUUCUUGAAAGGUUCUGGUUCUAACCCGGCGGCUAUGAUAACGACGCACAUCUUGCUGAUAAAUCGCCGAACGGGCUGCCGCCAUGUCACGCUCCUCGUCUAACAGGUCAAGAGAUUCCUGCCGUGCCUUCUUGUUGUCAGCUUCCACAUAUGCCGCUACACGAGGUGAGUCAUGACAGAUGUCACUAGGAAGAACCGCUUCCGCUCCAUAAACCAUGAAGAACGGUGUGUAUCCUGUCGAUCUGUUGGGUGUGGUAUUGAUGCUCCAUAACACAGAAGGUAACUCCUCAACCCAACAACCCGGCGUCCGUUGCAAAGGAACCAUAAGCCGGGGUUUGAUGCCUCUCAAGAUCUCUUGAUUGGCCCUCUCCGCUUGACCAUUAGACUAUGGGUGAGCCACUGAUGACACGUCAAGCCGGAUGUGCUCAUGUUGACAGAACUCCUUCAUGGCACCUUUUGACAGAUUGGUACCAUUGUCUGUUAUAAUGUUGUGUGGAAAGCCGAACCGGAAGAUCACCUUUUUGAUGAAUUGAACCGCCGUGGCUGCAUCACACUUACUAACUGGCUCUGCCUCCACCCACUUUGUGAACUUAUCAACCGCCACCAAAAGGUGGGUCUUCUUGUCCCUGGACCUCUUGAAAGGCCCAACCAUAUCCAGCCCCCAAGUUGCAAACGGCCAAGUGAUUGGAAUCAUCCUCAAUUCUUGAGCCGGUACAUGAGCGCGCCUUGAGAAUUUCUGACAGCCAUCACAUCUUUUGACCAAGUCCUCGGCAUCAGCAUGAGCUGUCAACCAAUAGAAACCGUGACGAAACGCCUUGGCCACCAAAGAUUUUGAACCAGCGUGGUGACCACAAUCUCCUUCGUGGAUCUCACGCAAAAUUUCGCGACCUUCCUCAGGAGACACACAGCGUUGAAACGCCCCUGUCACACUACAAUGAUGUAACUCUCCAUUGAUAAUAGUCAUGGACUUGGACCACCGGAUUAUCUGCCUGGCCAAAGUUUCAUCCUCUGGUAACUCGCCCCGGUUCAUAUACGCCAGAUAUGGAACCGUCCAAUCCGGAAUAACAUGAAGAGCCGCCACCAACUGAGCCUCCGGAUCAGGAACAGCCAAAUCCUCAUCUCCAGGGAGCUUGACGGACGGAUUAUGCAAAACAUCCAGGAAGACAUUAGGUGGAACCGGUUUACGUUGGGAACCCAGGCGGCUUAAAGCGUCCGCCGCUUCAUUCUUCCGCCGGUCCACAUGAUCCACCUGAUAACCUUUAAAGUGACCUGCAACAAUAUCCACCUCACGACGAUAUGCUGCCAUUAGUGGGUCCUUGGAAUCCCAAGUGCCGGACGCUUGUUGAGCCACCAGAUCCGAGUCACCGAAGCACUUUACUCGGCUUAGGUUCAUCUCCUUAGCCAUCUGAAGACCAUGGAGUAAAGCCUCAUAUUCAGCUGCAUUGUUAGUGCAAGGGAACAUUAAACGGAGAACAUAACAAAACUUAUCACCUCGUGGGGAAGUUAAUACGACUCCAGCCCCCGAGCCCUCCAAUUGUCUGGACCCAUCAAAAUGAAUAGUCCAAUAAGUAUGAUCCGGCUUCUCCUCUGGCGCUUGUAAUUCUGUCCAAUCAUUGAUGAAAUCCACAAGUGCCUGAGAUUUGAUCACCGUUCGGGGUAUGUAUUUCAACCUGUGAGGCCCGAGCUCUAUAGCCCACUUAGCAAUCCGUCCAGUUGCUUCCCUAUUCUGGAUUAUAUCUCCCAACGGAGCAGAGCUGACCACCGUGAUGGGAUGACCUUGGAAAUACUGCUUAAGCUUCCGGCUUGCCAUAAAAACCCCAUACACCAAUUUUUGCCAAUGCGGGUACCUCUGCUUGGACUCAAUAAGUACCUCACUGAUAUAGUAGACCGGCCGUUGAACCGGAUAUUCCUUUCCGGCCUCCUUGCGCUCCACCACAAUAGCCACACUAACAGCCCGGGGCUGCCACAUAUAGCAACAAUGGCUCUUUGUCAACCGGAGCAGCGAGAACCGGCGGAUUAGCCAGCUGCCGCUUUAAGUCCUCAAAUGCUUCAUUAGCGGCGUCACUCCAGACGAAGUCAUCCGUUUUCUUCAGCAUCUGAUACAAAGGGAUAGCCUUCUCACCAAGACGACUGAUAAACCGGCUCAACGCGGCAAUCCGGCCUGCCAGGCGUUGAACAUCAUUGAUACACUUCGGUUUGGCCAAGGAGGUGAUGGCCUUGAUCUUUUCCGAGUUAGCUUCAAUACCCCGGUUAGACACCAAAAAACCCAAGAGCUUGCCUGCAGGUACACCAAAGACGCACUUGGCCGGAUUAAGCAUCAUUUUGUAAACCCGCAGGUUAUCGAAGGUUUCCUUCAAGUCAUCAAUCAAUGUCUCCUUCUUCCUUGAUUUUACCACAAUAUCAUCCACAUAGGCAUGAACAUUGCGGCCGAUCUGUUUAUGAAGACAAUUCUGCACACACCGUUGAUAAGUCGCCUGGGCACUCUUGAGCCCAAAGGGCAUGGACACAUAGCAGAAGGAUCCAAAAGGGGUUAUGAAGGCUGUCUUCUCCUGGUCCUUAACUGCCAUUUUGAUCUGAUGAUAACUAGAAUAUGCAUCCAAAAAGCUCAAACGCUCGCAAACUGCCGUAGCAUCAAUAAUUUGAUCAAUACGAGGAGGGUAAAAGGAUCUGCUGGACAAGCUUUGUUAAGAUCUGUGUAGUCCACACACAUACGCCAAGUGCCGUUCUUUUUAAGGACCAGCACCGGAUUAGCCAACCACUCAGGAUGGAGUACUUCAAUGAUAAAUCCAGCCGCCAAGAGCCUGGCUACUUCUUCUCCAAUAGCUUUGCGUCUUUCUUCAUUGAACCGGCGGAGAAACUGCUUGACCGGUUUAUAUUUGGGAUCAACAUUGAGAGUGUGCUCAGCGAGUUCUCUCGGUACACCUAGCAUGUCAGAAGGCUUCCAUGCAUAGAUGUCCCGAUUCUCAUGGAUGAACUCGAUGAGCGCGCUUUCCUAUUUCGGAUCCAAGUUAGCGCUGAUGCUAAACUGCUUGGACGAAUCGCCAGGCACGAAGUCAACAAGCUUAGUCUCAUCAGCCGAUUUAAACUUCAGGGCCGGAUCAUGCUCUGUAGUUGGUUUCUUCAACGAAGUCAUAUCUGUCGGAUCAACAUUGUCCUUGUAAAACUUCAACUCUUCCAUUGCACAAACCGACUCAGCAUAAGCCGCAUCACCUUCUUCACAUUCCAGAGCAAUCUUGCGGCUCCCAUGCACAGUUAUAGUUCCCUUGUGACCCGGCAUCUUGAGCUGCAGAUAGACAUAACAAGGCCGUGCCAUAAACUUAGCAUAAGCUGGCCGUCCAAAUAGGGCAUGAUACGGGCUUCUGAUCUUCACCACUUCAAAGGUCAAGGUUUCUGAUCUCGAGUCAUGCUCAUCUCCAAAAGCCACCUCCAGAGCUAUCUUACCAACAGGAUAUGCCGACUUACCAGGCACCACACCAUGGAACACCGUAUUGGACGGUUUAAGAUCUUUAUCUGUUAAUCCCAUGUGACGGAAAGUUUCAUAAUAAAGGAUAUUGAUACUACUCCCUCCAUCCAUGAGUACCUUAGUGAACUUAUAACCUCCCACCUGAGGUGCCACCACCAGAGCCAGAUGACCCGGAUUGUCAACCCGGGGUGGAUGAUCUUCUCUACUCCACACAAUCGGCUGCUCGGACCAGCGCAAAUAACGGGGCACCGCCGGUUCAACGGCAUUCACCGCCCUCUUAUGAAGCUUCUGAUCGCGCUUGUCCAAGCUAGUGGUGAAGACAUGAUACUGUCCACUAUUCAACUGCUUCGGGUUGCUCUGGUAACCCGACUGCUACUGCUGCUACUGAUUGCCCUGAUGAUUAUAGCCACCUUGGUUACCCUGAUUACUUUGAUUGUUAUGUCCACCCUGAUUACCGUGGAAGCCUGAACCGGAAUUUCCUCCACCAUACCCCGGCCCAUGAGACCCGGGGCCCGAACCGCCUCCUAGUCCAUGAUCAUACCGGAAAGAAUCAGAAUUUUUGAACUCUUGCAUGAUGUAACAAUCUUUCUAGAGGUGCGUCGACGGGUUCUCCUUCGUCCCAUGCUUUGGACAGGGCUGGUUCAACAGAUAAGACAAAUGGUCCGGAUUAGGACUUGGCCCUCCACCACGCUAGGGCGGUUUACCCUUACGCCGCUGGCCCUUGUCAUGUGUAUUAGUAUUAGCCACAAAUUCUAAACCGUGGUCCGCCUUACGCUUGCCGAUGUUUCCAUGACCCGCCGGGUUGUGGUGCUGCCCCUUGGCGUUGCCGCUCUUUUUUCCCUUCCCUGUCUUAUCAUCGUCAGACUCGGGAUCCUUGGUACUAUCAGAGUCGGCAUUCUUCACCAGUGCAGCCAUAAGGGUUCCCAUGUCAUUACAAUGAUGUUUGAGCCAUCCCAAUUUCAACUUCACGGGUUCAAACCGGCAAUUGCCUUCCAAUGUUAAAAGUGCGGUGUCAGCAUUGAUGCGGUCCGAUGAAUGCAAAAUCUCCGAAACCCGGCGCACCCAAUGGGUUGUUAACUCUCCUUCCUCCUGGACACAGGUAGCUAAAUCCACAAUUGACAUGGGUUGCUUGCAUGUAUCCUUGAAAUUCUGAAUAAACCGGGCUCUCAACUCGGCCCAUGACCUAACAGAAUUGGCCGGUAAGCUCUUUAGCCACGGGCCGUCCCUUCUAGCAUCAUGGUGAAGUAUUUUGCACAUGUCGUAUCAUCCACAUCCAGCAUCUCCAUGGCCAUCUCAUAGCUUUCGACCCUUGUUUCAGGGGAUAAAUCGGCGGUGUAAUUCGGCACCUUGUGCGGGCCCUUGAAAUCCUUGGGCAGGCGCACAUUGCGCAACGCCGAGACGAGACACGGCACUCCCAAAGAACUAGAGGUAACUCCUGGUUCCACCGAUGUGGUUGGACGAACCGGAGUAAGCUGACGGGCUUCAUGCUGCGCCACUAACUCGGCCUCUCUGCGUGCCCGAGCCCGGUCCACCACCUCCUGAGCAUCACCAGCACCACCCGCCGGGUUAUUGCCACGGGGCGGACCAUGGUUCCGUGCAUUGCUUGACACUGCCGGUUCAUCCAUACGCCUGCUGUAACUCCGGCUUGGACAAGGAGUGGAAUGAAUCCGAUCGCGACUAUAUGAAUAAGCCUCCUGUUGAACCAAGGUUGUUUGAAGAAGCUCCUUAACGCGACGCGUCUCGACCACCGCCGGAGAAUCGCCUUCGAUCGGGAUGGCCGCCAGCCGUGAAGCGGCAGCGACAAUGUUGUCCAUCGGGUUAGAGUAAUGACCCGGUGGCGUGGGGACAUGUGGUGUUACAAUGUUGUUCUGACGAGGCGGAUCCAUCAAACGUGGCUGAACCGGCUCCCCUGCUCCAGGUGCCUCCACCCGGUUUACCACCGGCGGAUUACUCGUCCCUGCUCCUGGGGUGUUAAAGAGAUUUCUAGCGUCAUAAACUGGCGGCAGGCGAGAUCUAUACCUCCUCUUCAGGACUUCGUCCGACGCACUCUGAUCCAGCAUAAUCCGGUAAGCUUGUGCAUCCAAAGCGGCCCGCUCCAUGGCCAUCCUGGUAUCCUCAGCUGCUAAGUCGGCUUUGGCCCGGGUGAUCUGAUCUUUCACUUUCGCGACUUCCGCAUUGUGUGCAUCCUGAUCCACCGGGUUAACCUCCGCCAUCAGCGUUGCCAACGCGUCAAACAAAUCGGAUAGAACCUAAGCUGGCGGUCGCACAGGGCCUCCUGCCCCAGCCGCUUUGCCGCUGUCGUUCAGGAAAUCAUUGCCGCUGCGGUCGAAGAGUGGUGCGCCGGUUGCGUACCGGCCAUGAAGAUCGCAACCCGGUUUGGCAGAUCAAAGCGGUCCGGAAUACUGUCGCCAUCGGAACAGCCCCCAAUCCGGCCAUCUUGUAACUGAUAUAACGACUCGGUCUCUCCGGUCGAUGACUCGUCGCCGGGAUAAACGAAGGUCUCACCACCAGAUUCCGAUCUAUCCUCAGAUUCCCCUCCAUGGAUAACUCCCACGAAGGCACGCUUCAUGACAGGCUUGACCCGGGCAGAUCACGCACGCUGAGCCGUUUCGACGAGAUCGGUGCAGAUGUCCGGCUCAAGGCCCGGUUCGCCGAUCUUGCCAAUGAAAACGUGUAUGCCACCAAAGGGGACCCGGUACCCGUACUCGAUUGAGCCGGCCUCGGGGCCCCAGCCUACAUCGUCGAUGUAGAGCUUGCCGCGACGACUCUUGGUCAUCCGGCCCACAGCGUAACCCUUGAGUCCUUCGAAGUUGCCCUCCAAGAACUUGAAACCAUCGUGCGAUAGCCCCACGGUGGGCGCCAACUGUCGUGGUUUUGUCACGGCAGAUGUCCUAGAGAAAGGACUUAGUCGUGGAGCCAUCGCUACGGGUUAACUUAAAGGGGUUAAAGUGGACAAGGGACGCAAGAGAUUUUUUAUACUAGUUCGGCCCCUUACGAUGAAGGUAAAAGCCUACGUCUAGUUGUGAUGGAAUUGUUGGGGUUUCGAUGACCAGGGAGCGAAUACGCUUUGCCUGAGUCUCGAGUUGUUGUCUGUUGUCCUUGAACCGCCGCCGGGUCGUCCCCUUAUAUACCUGGGUUGACGCCCAUCGGUUUACAGAAUCCUGAGGCCGGCUCAUAAUCGUGUCCGGCUCAGUCUCUGCUACUUCUAUCUUACAACACAAUAUACAUAUCAACGCCAGUUUAUGUCUACAGGCCUUAAACCGGAUUUGGGCCCUGGGCCUUCAUAAAGCAUCACCGUCUGUCUUCAUGGACUUCAGAUACAGAUGAACUACUUAUGGGGUUAACCCGGCUUCUCCUGGCCGGUUUACGCCCAGUGGUAAUAUCCCCAACAGGUAUAGAAGGUUGCGGCGGUGGAAAUAGGGUUUUUUGCUCUGUAUCUGAUGUUUUCGGGGUACGUAGGUAUAUAUAGGAGGAAGAAGUCGGUUGGUGGAGCUACGAGGGGCCCACGAGGGUGGAGGGCGCGCCCAGGGGGGUAGGCGCGCCCCCUGCCUCGUGGCCUCCUCUUUGAUUGCUUGACGUCCACUCCAAGUCCUUUGGAUCACGUUUGUUCCGAAAAUCACGUUCCCCAAGGUUUCAUUCCGUUUGGACUCCGUUUGAUAUUCCUUUCCUUCGAAACACUGAAAUAGGCAAAAAAACAGCAAUUUGGGCUGGGCCUCCGGUUAAUAGGUUAGUCCCAAAAAUAAUAUAAAAGUGUAUAAUAAAGCCCAUUAAACGUCCAAAACAGAAUAUAUAAUAGCAUGGAACAAUAAAAAUUAUAGAUAUGUUGGAGACGUAUCAAGCACCACUUGGAAUUUGAGUUCAUCUACCUACAUGGGUUAGUUUUGCAAGGAAGACCACUUACGUAUCCAAGGUGAAAACUAUGAAACUUGAUAUAGAAUUUGUCAAAGGAUAUGUUUGAAGGGUUUCAUGCUUCCUUGUCUUCAACCACCAUUGUGUAGAGACUUGGUGAUGUAGAGAUUGCUCAAGAUGUGAGUGAGUGGCAAUCUCAUAGAUUUAGAUUCAUCCAAGUACCUACAAGGGUUAGAUAGCAUGCAAGGGUGCAAGUAUAUCCAAGACAUAUAAAUAGCAUCAUGGAAGAAAUAUCAAGGAUUGGUCAAAGGCUCAUGCCUUGCAUGUAUCCAAAUGGAGUUCCUACUCCAAGUUUGAAGCAUCAAUGAUGUUCAAUUCACCUCUCAAACGGCAAAAGACUUUCUCAUCAAGAGGUUUGGUGAAUAUAUCCGCUAAUUGCUUAUCGGUGCGAACAUGCUUAAGAUCAAUGUCCCCUUUGGCAACAUGAUCUCGAAUGAAAUGAUGACGAACUUCAAUAUGCUUAGUUCGAGAAUGUUGCACAUGAUUGUGAGAAAUCUUAAUAGCACUUUCAUUGUCACAAAGCAAUGGAACAUGUUUCACAUAUAUCCCAUAAUCCUUCAGAGUUUGGGUCAUCCAAAGUAAUUGAGCACAACAUGAACCAGCGGCAAUGUAUUCCGCUUCGGCGGUGGAUAAGGAUACCGAGUUUCGUUUCUUGGAGGACCAAGACACAAGAGAUCUACCAAGAAAUUGACAAGUACCCGAAGUGGACUUUCUAUCAACCUUGUCUCCGGCAUAGUCUGAAUCGGAGUAGCCGAAAAGAUCGAAAGAAGACCUCUUAGGAUACCAAAUGCCAAAAUUUGGUGUAUGUAUUAAGUAUCUCACUAUCCUUUUCACAGCCUUAAGAUGACAUUCUUUAGGGGCCGCUUGAUAUCGUGCACACAUGCACACACUUAGCAUAAUAUCGGGACGAGAGGCACAUAGGUAUAACAAUGAACCAAUCAUAGAGCGGUAAACUUUUUGAUCAACCGGUUCACCAUCUUUGGUCAGAUCAAGAUGUCCACUAGUAGGCAUGGGUGUAUUCAUACCUUUGCAUUCUUGCAUACUGAACUUCUUGAAUAAGUCCUUGGUGUACUUUGUUUGAGAAACAAAGGUACCUUCCUUAGUUUGCUUGAUUUGCAAACCGAGAAAGAACUUGAGUUCACUCAUCAUAGACAUCUCAAACUUCUCCGACAUUAGCUUUCCAAACUUCUCACUAAAAUGAGGGUUAGUAGAACCAAAUAUAAUACCAUCAACUUAAAUUUGGCACACAAAUAGUUCUCCGUUAACCCUUUUUGUGAAAAGAGUAGAAUCUAUCUUUCCAAUUUCAAAGCCUUUUUCAAUAAGGAACUUGGUCAAGCAUUUAUACCACGCUCUAGGAGCUUGUUUAAGACCAUAAAGAGCUUUGUGAAGUUUAUAGACAUGAUUAGGUUUGUUAGGAUUGACAAAGCCGGGAGGUUGCUUAACAUAAACUUCCUCCUCAAUUUCACCAUUUAGAAAAGCACUUUUAAUGUCCAUUUGGUACAAGGUGAUAUCAUGGUGAUUAGCAUAAGCAAGUAAGAUGCGAAUGGACUCAAGUCUAGCAACGGGGGCAUAUGUCUCACCAUAGUCCAUACCUUCCACUUGAGUGUAGCCUUGGGCGACGAGACGUGCUUUGUUGCGAACUACUUGUCCAUCUUCAUCUUGCUUGUUGCGAAACACCCAUUUGGUACCAAUGAUGUUGUGGUUGUUGUCGGGCUUCUCGACAAUGUCCACACUCGGUUUCUCUCAAAGUUGUGUAGCUCUUCAUGCAUGGCAUUUAUCCAAUCCGGAUCUUCCAAUGCUUCUUCAACCUUCAUAGGUUCAAUGCUAGAGAUGAAUGAAUAAUGUUCACAAAAGUUAGUCAAACGAGUUUUAGAGCGAGUGAUUCUCCCGGUUUGGAUAUCAUUGUAGUUUGCUCGAUGGGAUGGUCUUUGGCGACUCUUGCUCGAACUCGUGGGAGCUUUUGCUUGGCACGGGGUGGAACAUCUUCUUCAUCUUGUUCUUCUUCUUGGCCUUCUUCAUUGUUGACGUUGUCGUUCUCUUGUCGUGGUGGAGAAGGAGGUUGAUGAGGUUCAUCUUGGUGUACUUCCUCGUUUUCUUCAUCUUGAUGUGUCCCACUUGUGGACGCUUCCGUAUCAACUCUUGGUUCACCUUGUCGUGAGGUGGAAGCUUCCACUUGGACGGACGAGGUACUCUCCUUCACCUCCGUUGGACGAAUCUUGCCAAUAGACAAGUCUUGGAUUGCUUCCGAAGGGUCUUUGUCUCCUACAUCAAUUGGCAAUUGCUCUACUUGCGAGCCGUUAGAUUCAUCAAACUUCACAUCUAUCAUCUCUUCAACAUUUCGGGUGAAAUUGUUGUAGACACGGUAAGUGUGAGAGUUUGAGCCAUAACCAAGCAGGAAACCUUCAUGAGAUUUAGGAGCAAAUUUAGAACGACGAUGCUUAUCAAGAAUGUAGCACUUUGAGCCGAAUACUCGAAAGUAUCCAACUUGGGGUUUGUUACUGGUGAGAAGCUCGUAUGCCGUCUUGCCGAGUAGCUUGUGAAGAUACAAGCGAUUUGUUGCAUGACAAGCUGUCUCAACCGCUUCCGCCCAAAAGUGUUUUGGAGUCUUGUACUCAUCAAGCAUCGUUCUUGCCAUCUCAAUAAGAGUCCGGUUCUUCCUCUCAACAACUCCAUUUUGUUGAGGCGUGUACGUAGCCGAGAACUCGUGUGAGAUCCCUUCUUUGUCAAGAAAGGUAUCCACAUUUGCGUUCUUGAACUCCGUUCCGUUGUCGCUCCGAACCUUCUUGAUCUUAACUUGAAAUUUAUUUUGGGCCUUCCUAGCGAAGUUUUUGAAGAUCUUUUGGACCUGUGAUUUAUCAUCAAGAAAGAACACCUACGUAAAUCUUGAAAAAUCAUCGACUAUGACUAGACCAAAUGAGUUACCACCGAGACUCUUGUAGGCAUUGGGACCAAAGAGAUCCAUGUGAAGUAGCUCGAGCGGUCUUCUCGUGGUCAUGAUGUUCUUCACGGGGUGACUUCCUCCAAGUUGUUUUCCUGUUUGACAAGCACUACAAAGUCUAUCCUUGUCAAAUAUCACAUCUUUUAAUCCAAGGAUAUGAUCACCUUUAAUAAGCUUGUCAAGAUUUCGCAUGCCCACAUGACCUAGCCUUCUAUGCCACAACCAGCCUUUAGAAGAUUUAGCAAUUAAGCAGGUUCUAGGUUGAGCCUUUUUAGUGAAAGCAACAAUAUAAAGAUCACCUCUACGUAUACCGGUAAAGACCAUUUUAUGAUUGUCUCUUCGAAACACUUGGCAAUCUACUUCCGUAAAUAGGACACUGGAACCGAAAUCAGCAAGUCUAGAUACUGAAAGUAAAUUGUACCCAAGAGAUUCAACGAGCAUGACAUUUUGUAUGGAGCUAUCAUGUGAGAUGGCCACAUUACGAGGCCAACCACCUUACCCUUUGAGUUAUCACCAAAAGUGACAUACUUUCGAGGGCCGUCGUUUUCAGCAAGCUCACGAAACAUAUCUUUGUCUCCGGUCAUAUGAUCAGUACAUCCACUAUCAAGGACCCAUUCCUUUCCUCCAGCCAUGUAGCCGUGAAGAUUAGCCAUAAGACCAAAGUGUCUCAUCGCAUCAUCAAGAUCAUAGUCACUAUCAUCAUCCUCAUCAUAGUAUCCAUGUUCAACAUCGUCUUGUAUUUGAUCAUUUCCUAGAGAGGGUAAUUCAUUAGAUAAAUGAUCAUCACAAUGGUCACCUUUAUGAAUUAUAAUAGCUUCGGAUAUGAUAUUGCUAAUGCUUCCAACAUCUCCUUUGGCACGCAUGAGAUUGGUAAGCUCAAAUAGACAAUCACCAAACUUACGAUCACUGGAAUUCAUCUUACUCAAGGCAAUAGACUUAUGGAGAAUUUCAUCUAAGUUUUGCAAGGAAUAGUUUGGAAAUCUUUCCUCAAGAAAUCUCCAUAUAGUGUAGCCACAAUCAAGAGUAGGCAAACAUCCAAUCAAGUUUCUAGGCAAGCCUCUAGUGAUAAGAUUAACAGUUCUAAGGUUGCGGAUCAUGUCAAUAGACUCAUCAAGGGUAGGAUGCAAAGGAUCAACAUGAGGUGCACAAGGGGUAGUAAUGUACUUGUUCAAAUGGUAUUCAUUGGAAAUCUCAAACAUCUCAUUUUUCCACUCAUGAAAGAACUCUCCAUCAAGAAUAGGCACUCUACGUCUAAGACUCCCCAAUGUAGACUCAUCCAUCUUCCUCCAAUGGUGAUUAAACCAAAGCAAUGGAGACCAAAGCUCUGAUACCAAUUGAAAGGAUCGAGAAGAGGUGAAUAGAGGGGGGUGAAUAGAACCUUAGCAAGAAAAGUUGCAGUUUUUAAUUUCUUUAAGUUGAAGUGGAGUUUUGGCACAAGUUUAAACAUUCACAAUACAUAUCAAGCAAGCAUGACAAGAGUAUAUGAGCAGCGGAAAGUAAAGCAUGCAAGUUGCAAGAAUGUAAAAGGAUGGGAUUGGAGUGUGCAAACGCAAUUGGAGACUCGGAGAUUUUUUAUCCGUGGUUUCGAUAGGUGGUGCUAUCGUACAUCCACGUUGAUGGAGACUUUAACCCACGAAGGGUAACGGUUGCGCGAGUCCACGGAGGGCUCCACCCACGAAGGGUCCACGAAGAAGGAACCUUGUCUAUCCCACCAUGGUCAUCGCCCACGAAGGACUUGCCUCACUCGGGUAGAUCUUCACGAAGUAGGCGAUCUCCUUGCUUGUACAAACUCCUUGGUUCAACUCCACAAUCUUGACGGAGGCUCCCAAGUGACACCUAACCAAUCUGGGAGACACCACUCUCCAAAAGGUAAUAGAUGGUGUGUUCGUCAUGAACUCCUUGCUCUUGUGCUUCAAAUGAUAGUCUCCCCAACAGUCAACUCUCUCUCAUAGGAUUUGGAUUUGGUGGAAAGAUGAUUUGAGUGGAAAGCAACUUGGGAAGGCUAGAGAUCAAGAUUUAUGUGGUUGGAAUGGAAUAUCUUGACCUCAACACAAGUGUAGGUGGUUCUCUCUCAGAAAAUGUAUGUUGGAAGUGUAGGCAUGUUCUGAUGGCUCUCUCCACAAAUGAAGAGUGUGUGGAGGGGUAUAUAUAGCCUCCACACAAAAUCUAACCGUUACACACAAAUCACCAAACUUGGUGGGACCGAAUUAGAAAACUCGGUCGGACCGACUUGGUUCAUAAUGUGACCGUUAGGCAUUUCGGUGGGACCGAUAUGAUCAACUCGGUGGGACCGAUGUGCUAGGGUUAGGGUAAAGCCUCAUCUCGGUUUGACCGAUUACACAAACUCGGUGGGACCGAUUUUGGUAAUAAGCAAAACAGAAAGUUGGCCAAGCAAACUUGGUGGGACCGAUUGCAUAUCUCGGUGAGACUGAAAUUAAUGCAAUAGGCAACAGAGAGUUUGCAAGCCCAUCUCGGUGAGACCGAGAUCCCAUCGGUGAGACCGAAUUGAUUAGGGUUUGUGACAAUGGCUAUGUCAAGAGAACUCGGUGGCGCCGGAUAGAAUGUUUCGGUGGGGCCGAGUUUGACUUUUGGUUUGGGACAUAUGUGGAUGUGAGAAAGUGGUUGAGGGCUUUGGAGCAUAUCACUAAGCACUUUGAGCAAGCAACUCAUUAAGCAACACCUCACCCCCUCUUAAUAGUAUUGGCUUUUCCUAUGGACUCAAUGUGAUCUUGGAUCACUAAAAAUGUAGAGUCUUGUGCUUUGAGCUUGAGCCAAUCCUUUGUCCUUAUCAUCUUGAAGGGGUUCCACAUCCUCUAGUCCAUGCCACUCCAUUGUUGAACUUAUCUGAAAUAUACUAGGUAGAAGUAUUAGUCCAACAAGAGAUAUGUUGACAUUAAUUACCAAAAUCACCCAGGGAGCACUUGUGCUUUCACUUUGUUUGUCUAUGUAUUCACACAUGUACUAAGUUUCCGGUUAAUACAAUUCUAGCAUGAAUAAUAAAUAUUUAUCAUGAUAUAAGGAAAUAUAAAUAACAACUUUAUUAUUGCCUCUAGGGCAUAUUUCCUUCAGUGACCUCGUUCAUUAAAUGACAACACAUGUCUAUGGCUAGGAAACUUAACCAUCUUUGACUAACGAGCUAGUCAAGUAGAGGCAUACUAGGGACACUCCGUUUGUCUAUGUAUUCACACAUGUAUUAAGUUUCCGGUUAAUACAAUUCUAGCAUGAAUAAUAAACAUUUAUCAUGAUAUAAGGAAAUAUAAAUAACAACUUUAUUAUUGCCUCUAGGGCAUAUUUCCUUCAGUCUCCCACUUGCACUAGAGUCAAUAAUCUAGAUUACAUAGUAAUGAUUCUAACACCCAUGGAGUCUUGGUGUUGAUCAUGUUUUGCUCGUGAAAGAGGCUUAGUCAACGGGUCUGCAAUAUUCAGAUCCGUAUGUGUUUUGCAAAUCUUUAUGUCUCCCUCCUUGACUUGAUCGCGGAUGGAAUUAAAGCGUCUCUUGAUGUGUUUGGUUCUCUUGUGAAAUCUGGAUUCCUUCGCCAAGGCAAUUGCUCCAGUAUUGUCACAAAAUAUUUUCAUUGGACCUGAUGCACUUGGUAUUACACCUAGAUCGGAUAUGAACUCCUUCAUCUAGACUCCUUCAUUUGCUGCUUCCGAAGCAGCUAUGUACUCCGCUUCACACGUAGAUCCCGCCACGACGCUUUGCUUGGAACUGCACCAACUGACAGCUCCACCAUUCAAUAUAAAUAUGUAUCCGGUUUGUGACUUAGAGUCAUCCGGAUCAGUGUCAAAGAUUGCAUCAACGUAACCAUUUACGACAAGCUCUUUGUCACCUCCAUAAAUGAGAAACAUAUCCUUAGUCCUUUUCAGGUAUUUCAGGAUGUUCCUGACCGCUGUCCGGUGAUCCACUCCUGGAUUACUUUGGUACCUCCCUGCUAUACUUAUAGCAAGGCACACAUCAGGUCUGGUACACAACAUUGCAUACAUGAUAGAACCUAUGGCUGACGCAUAGGGAAUGACUUUCAUUUUCUCUCUAUCUUCUGCAGCGGGCAUUGAGUCCGACUCAACUUCACACCUUGUAACACAGGCAAGAACCCUUUCUUUGACCGAUCCAUUUUGAACUUCUUCAAAACUUUAUCAAGGUAUGUGCUUUGUGAAAGUCUAAUUAAGCGUCUUGAUCUAUCUCUAUAGAUCUUGAUGGCCAAUAUAUAAGCUGCUUCACCGAGGUCUUUCAUUGAAAAAUUCUUAUUCAAGUAUCCUUUUAUGCUAUCCAGAAAUUAUGUAUCAUUUCCAAUCAACAAUAUGUCAUCCACAUAUAAUAUUAGAAAUGCUACAGAGCUCCCACUCACUUUCUUGUAAAUACAGGCUUCUCCAAAAGUCUGUAUAAAACCAUAUGCUUUGAUCACACUAUCAAAGCGUAUAUUCCAACUCUGAGAGGCUUGCACUAGUCCAUAAAUGGAUCGCUGGAGCUUGCACACUUUGUUAGCACCUUUAGGAUCGACAAAACCUUCUGGUUGCAUCAUAUACAACUCUUCUUUAAGAAAUCCAUUAAGGAAUGCAGUUUUGACAUCCAUUUGCCAAAUUUCAUAAUCAUAAAAUGCGGCAAUUGCUAACAUGAUUCGGACAGACUUAAGCAUCGCUACGGGUGAGAAGGUCUCAUCGUAGUCAACUCCUUGAACUUGUCAAAAACUUUUUGCAACAAGUCGAGCUUUGUAGACAGUAACAUUACCGUCAGCGUCAGUCUUCUUCUUAAAGAUCCAUUUAUUCUCGAUGGCUUGCCAAUCAUCGGGCAAGUCAACCGAAGUCCACACUUUGUUCUCAUACAUGGAUCCCAUCUCAGAUUUCAUCUUCAAGCCAUUUCGCGGAAUCUGGGCUCAUCAUCUCUUCCUCAUAGUUCGUAGGUUCGUCAUGGUCUAGUAACAUGACUUCCAGAACAGGAUUACCGUACCACUCUGGUGCGGAUCGUACUCUGGUUGACCUACGAGGUUCGGUAGUAACUUCAUCUGAAGCUUCAUGAUCAUCAUCAUUAACUUCCUCACUAAUUGGUGUAGGAAUCACUGUACCUGAUUUCUAUGAUGAACUACUUUCCAAUUCAGGAGAAGGUACAAUUACCUCAUCAAGUUCUACUUUCCUCCCACUCACUUCUUUCGAGAGAACUCCUUCUCUAGAAAGGAUCCAUUCUUAGCAAUGAAUAUCUUGCCUUCGGAUCUGUGAUAGAAGGUGUACCCAAUAGUCUCCUUUGGGUAUCCUAUGAGGACACAUUUCUCCAAUUUGGGUUCGAGCUUAUCAGGUUGAAACUUUUUCACAUAAGCAUCGCAGCCCCAAACUUUAAGAAACGACAACUUGGGUUUCUUGCCAAACCACAGUUCAUAUGGUGUCGUCUCAACGGAUUUAGAUGGUGCCCUAUUUGGUGAUGAUGAUGACGGUGAUUUUCCCCUCCGGGAGGGAAGUUCCCCCGGUGGAAUCGCUCCGCCGGAGGGCAAAAGUGCUUCUGCCCAAGUUCCGCCUCGAGACGGCGGUGCUCCGUCCCGAAAGUCCUCUCCUUAUUUUUUUUCUAGGUCAAAAUGACUUAUAUACCAGAAGAUGGGCACCGGAGGUGUGCCGGGCUGAGCACAACCCACCAGGGUGCGCCUGGGGGGCCAGGCGCGCCCUGGUGUCUUGUGCUCACCAGGUGGCCCUCCUCCGGUGGUUAUUUGCUCCAGUAUUUCUUAUUUAUUCCAUAAAAAAUCCUCGUGAAGUUUCAGCUUACUUGGAGUUGUGCAGAAUAGGUGGCCUGACGUAGCUUUUCCACGUCCAGAUUGCCAGCUGCCGGAAUUCUCCCUCUUUGUGUGUACCUUGCAUAUUAUGAGAGAAAAGGCAUUAGAAUUACUCCAAAAAGCAUUAUUAUGCAUAAAAACAUCAUAAAUAACAGUAGGGAAACAUGAUGCAAAAUGGAUGUAUCAACGGGGAGCAGGCGAAUCACCUCUUGUUAGCAGGGAUCAGGAGAAGCACUUCACUUCAGCUGCGAGGAACAUGGUGUGCGGUCCAUGGCCUUCUUGACGAGCUCGAUCUUCACGGGCGGCACGUCGGCAUGGACUCGGCGUCGUUCGAUAGCCCGUCUAUGCACGGCAGUCGGCAGCAGUACGAAGCGGAGGCAAGGAUACAUGAACAGUUGCACAAGCAAGAGCGCGGAGAUUUCCUUUAUCAUUGUUGGUGUCCAGGGUGAAUGCACAUAAGGUGUUCGAUAAAAUGGUUGUUUCUAUAUGAGAGAGCGAUGGAAGAAGGACAGAGAAAACUGAUGACACGGCAGCAUUUUUUCUCACAUUUCUGGUUUUGGACUAAAGGUACCCGGUUUUGAGAGAUGAGGGACUAAAUGUCACCCAAUUUGUGGAGGGACCAAAUAUAGACUUUUAGUAAACUUGAGGGACCAAAAACAUAUUUUUCUCUAUUCUCCAAGCAAAGGCGGCUAGGGUUUCUGUCUCCCAUCGGCGGUGCCGUGAAUCUGCCUUAUCUCCUAUGGCCUUAGGGCCAUGAAGACGCGGUGGAUCCCGGCCCUUGCUGAUGGGCGUGCUCCAUUUUUAUAUGUUUCUUUGAGUUUUGCUAGGGCAUGUGUCCUACUCAGGAAGACGAGACGACGAUGGCUCCUUGAAGAUGGAAUAAAGUUCUCUCCAUCUAGCCCCUAUUUUGGUGGAGGUGUGUCUCCGAUAGUUGUCUUUGGUGGAUCCUCUCGGAUCCGGUCUUCGUUCAUAUAUGUCAGUGUCUUCAGGUUGUAUCCUUUUGAUCCACGUUUUUCUCCGUCGGCGGCGGUUACUGUUCUGGUGCAUUGGUCCUAUGGGGCCUUAGCGCGACGACUUUCCGACUGUCUAUUAUAGCAAGUUUUGCANNNNNNNNNNNNNNNNNNNNNNNNNNNNNNNNNNNNNNNNNNNNNNNNNNNNNNNNNNNNNNNNNNNNNNNNNNNNNNNNNNNNNNNNNNNNNNNNNNNNNNNNNNNNNNNNNNNNNNNNNNNNNNNNNNNNNNNNNNNNNNNNNNNNNNNNNNNNNNNNNNNNNNNNNNNNNNNNNNNNNNNNNNNNNNNNNNNNNNNNNNNNNNNNNNNNNNNNNNNNNNNNNNNNNNNNNNNNNNNNNNNNNNNNNNNNNNNNNNNNNNNNNNNNNNNNNNNNNNNNNNNNNGGCAGCGCGCCUUCAACUCGCUUCAGUACUUGUAGUCGUCGCUAGAUAUUUUACAAAUCUGGAUGUAAUUUUUAUUAUUUUGGUGUUCGUUGUACCGCCAUGAUUGAUGAUCAAUAGAUCGAAAUUUUUUCUCGCAAAACGAAAUAUAAAAACGUCAAUGCAAUUAAGGAAGCAUUGUAAAAUAAGAAAUGAAUUGAUAAUCAUGUGAUUUCCAUGAUAGAUAUCGUUACCAAUAAUCGGACAAUAUCCGCAAAAAAGUAAUAGAUGGAGUAUUACAUUUACACCCAUGAAGUCAAUACUUUGGUUUCUCCUCCUCCUUCAACUUAUAGCCUCAAAUGGUACACAUUGUUCAUAUUAUUUUUACUAGGACGGUCAUGGCACCGGAAAAUAAUUUUGGCAUCACAUGGACAAAAACUGAAACCAUAAAAACAAGUAUGCCGAGAUGCUUCAUGUAUUACGAGACCGGAGGUUAUGUUGGUUCUUAUCUAGGAAUACUUUCAUAAGAAAAUGAGACAACUAAGUACCAUUUAUUCAUUUACGUCAACGAUGUGCGCCCAUUUCAUCAUUUGUUUUGACAUAAGGCCAAAUAUCCGCUUGAUCCUAAUGGCGUAUGAAGACAUGUAUAGGAUUGAUAAGCAGUCUUUUUAUAUGUAUUCAACAUCAUUUAGAGAAAACAAUGAAACUUGUUAUAGUAAUAAAUUAACUCUUGGUGUUAUCUAUAGCAUUUAAUGUUACAUAACUCUAAAAUUCUGGGUGAUUAAAAUAAGAAUAAGAAAACACAUGAAUAGGACAAGACAUGUUAUACAAUUAGGCAAAUGUUUUGUCUUUCUUUCCAAUAGUCAUCUCUUAGCCAACAGCUUCGCCGGUUAUGCUAUGUGACAUCGUUAAGAUAGAGCCACGGUACACACCCCGAUGGUUUAGUGGACUUCAAUAGACAUCAUGGCACUAUUAAAACAGUAAGAAAACAUCUCUAGCAAAUCCCCUAUCCUAAAAGUCCAAAAGCUUCUCCCUAUCCCAAAAAGGCCAAAAAUACUUUUUCUCAGCCUAGCACAUCCUGUAAACUUAAUCCUUCAAACCAACUCGACCCCUACAUGGUAGUCACUCAUCUUCCUUCUUUCUUAUUUUUUUUCGUCCUUCCGCAUGGCGAACGACGGUUGCUCGACACUACAUGAUGUCUAUGAUCCACAAAAAUAAUUUGAUAGAGGCUCACUGAGUGUGACAUACACGUGCAACGAAAGAGACAAGAAUGUAGACAAAAUUUGUCCUCCAUGAACAACGGUUUGGGAACUUCUUCGUUUGAAUGCGUUCUUUGCCUCUUCCUUCUUCUACUGGCAUGAUGGUGUGGUCCGAAACACAACAAAUCGUUGAAAUUGGUGAUGGUCGACCGACGGCCAAGGUUCUUUGUAAUGUAGGUGAGUUGUUCCUUUGUAGGUGCUCUCCGCCGCGCUGAAGCUUUGUUUGUGGCCAGGGACGGCAUGGAGGAGCACUGUUGGGUCGGGCAUACCGGGGAGAAGCGCCAUCGUAGAAGGAGAUGACGAGAAAGACAAAAAAAUGAAGACACAAGUUAGCCGGAAUCUUGUUGUGGUUAUGAAUCGUAGACCGAUUGAUCCCUGGCAUUUAAUAAAGUUGAAUCAGCGUGUGCAUGUAUUAUCAUAGCGUCUGAGAGGGAAGGCACUAUGAUGUGUUGGAUAUUGGCUAACGCUCAUGCGCUGCUCUAGGACUUAGUGUUUGCCCGUUGCCGAGGCCAGAGAGCAACAGAGAGCAUAUGAGGACUGGGGCGAGCUAAAAAUUCUCUAAGUCAGUGUGUAGCUUCCAAGGCAAAGGCGCUAUGCUCCGACCUAACCGCAUCACGCCAUGUUGACAGGAAGUGUAGCGUCUGUCAUAACGACGCUACCUCAUGUAGCACGGCGCCUAGGUGUUGGACGCUACCCGAAAGGGUUAUUUCUGCAAAAUACGUUUGCCGAGAGUUUAUUGUUUGAAUUUGUUUCGACUUGGUCAGUUUUGUCCAUUUUGCGUGGAAACUCACCCUUGCCUCGAAAUGAAAAGAAAAUCGUGGAAACUCGUCCCCCGAUCGUUCCCUGACCCACCGGUCCGCAUCUUCUCGGCGAGGUGCGGCCCGCCGCCAGGCUGCAGCGGAGGUGCGGUGGUUCUCUCAGGCAGCGGCGGUGUCGGAGGCGACGAGCCCGAGCCGAUCAAGACUCCCAGAGAGCCACCACCCCACCGACGAGAAAUUCCUCCAACUGAGUGAGAAGGAAGGACCCCUCCCCAACACCCCCAACCCGCGGCCCCCAGAUCCAGAAUCUUCCGCCUCCUUGGCUCUCCCUCCCGGCCCACCACCGUCCGCCGGCUUCCGCGGCUCCGUUCUCCCCGGCUUCAUCAUCCUCAACUCGCUGGCCAGAUCUCCACAACGAGACAACCGCCGGAAACUUCACCAAAUCGGUUCGUCUUCGCCGACCCACCGCGCCUCUCCUACUCCUGCGUCCAGUGCUCCAACCGCGACGGGAACCCCUUCGCCUGCAUGCCCAAAUCCUUUCCUCGGUGGAGGGUCUCGCCCUCAUCCAAGUCCACUUCACGGCCGGCACUUGUUCGUCUAGGUUCAGAGUCGCUCAGAGGGGCAGAGGGCACCGGGGUCGGCCGACGCUUGAGCUGCUCCCGGACAUCCCGUCCGUAUUCUCAGAAGGAGCAUCUAAUGUCCCAUGGCGACGGCAAGCACCAAGUCUCGCCGCUCCCUCUAAGUUACACGGCAGGGCAACAUGAUCUCCAAUAUCUAGUUGUCCACUUGGACCAUGAAGCUGCUACAGGUGGAUCAUGGGCCAAGAAGCUGGAACUUAUUGAUCCCACAAUGUCAAAGGUGAUAGCUCCCAGUCUCAGAUGGAUUGCUAGGAUGGGUGGAUCUCCAGGAGGGAAUUGUGAUCUGCGAUGUGCUCGCCAUGGCCAAAGGCAUGCCUGACGGUGGCACGUUUCAUCCUGAUGUCGAAGCCGCAGCGCAGCAACCAAGAGCUCUACUGCCCAGAAACGGUUGGCACACCCGCUGCACGAUGCCGCCUUCAGUCAUGGCCUCAUGGUUACAUUACAUCAAGUGUGUCAAGUUGGAGUAAUCAGUAAGACUCAGACCUGAAACCUCUCACUAGUUCGGCAUGAUCACUUUGGCUGUGGCUGUGGCUGUGGCUGAGAAAAAGGAGCGAGGGAGGGAGUCGCGGUCGUCGGUCGGUCUCGGUCUCUGUCUUUUCAUCCGGGUGCACGGCCCUGCGAGCCAAUGCAAACUCUCCUCUCUCUGCGCAACAGCAGGCAGGCAGGCUACGCAAGCAAAAGCAACACGACCGGCUGGCUGGCUGGCUACGACUACACUACGCCCCGCCCCGCCCCGCCCCUCCCAUGUAGACAGAGAUCCCAAAUUUGAUGGAUUCAAAUUUCAAACUCAUGGGCGCCAAGUCUUCUUUUUCGACCCUCCCUCCCUCGCCGCUUAGGGUUUUGUUUCUCUUGUCUUUUUGUUUUUUCUUCCCUUCCCAUACAAGCAAGUCGAAUCGAAUGUACUCUCUCUGUUUCUAAAUAUAAGUUUUUUUAAAGAUUUCAAAUGGACUGUCACAUACGGAUGUACAUAGACAUAUUUUAGAGUGUAGGUUCACUUAUUUUGCUCCGUAUGUAGUCAUUUGUUGAAAUCUCUAGAAAGACAUAUAUUUAGGAACGGAGGAAGUAUCAACUACGUAAGUCCAACAUACGCGGCCACCCUCCCAAAUUACCACGCCGGGCGACAAGGCAACUACUCCCUCCCUACUUGCCACCGCUUUUACUUUGCCCAAAUCCAUCGUCUCACUUGAUGGAUUGCACACAACGACAACACGGAGCAACGUUCCUUCCUUCUUCGAUUUCGUACGCAUGACACGGCUACACCAGCCCUUCCUCUCCGUUGCCGGGACGUCAGGGAUAUUCGCACUACAUUGUAUAUAUUUUCGACAAAAGUUGAAUUUUAUUGCUUCCAAUGAAGCAUCAAGAGGAUACAUCACAAUGACCACACACCCGAUCUCUGCAUAAUUACGAUGCACACAUCCAACCAAACACACACGGAAACACACCGCCAAUUAGCAAAGUCAUACAGAUCAAAAGCCAUGCGCAAGCGUGAAAACAACAAGAAAAAAAAUACCCAAACGAUCGGAUGAACGAUCGACAAACUGCAACUGAGACCAUAUUAGCAGCAACCAUUGACACCACAUGGAUGACGAGAAUCUUCAAAAGCAACGCCUUCAGUAAGGAAGCGACGCCGUCACCUGGUCCAACCACAAAGGCGAGUAUCAAAGUCUUCACCCUAAAGAAUCAGUCCGAACAUACCCGAGCAAUGCCUCUAACAAGGUGACGACGUAAAAAACAUAGCCAUUUCCAGGAAUAACCACUCGGGUUUGUCAUAGGCUUUCGACCCGGAGCUCGAGACCGGGUGCACGCAACAUGUCUCCACCGUUUUUCCACCAUCCCAACAGCUACAAUUGGACCACUGCUACUCCACAAACAUCCCUCCGCGUCAAGUCAUCAUUCAUAAUUUGUAACACACCACUAAAGUCAUCCGCCGGAUCAAGAGAUAAUUUCGAUGGCCCCGGCUAUCGUGGAUCCAUAGGAAGUCGCUGCAGAAUGAUCUACAGACACCACCAUCCGGCUAAUAAUCAGAUCUAAAUCACCUCCACCAUCUGAGGAUCGCAGCGUCGGCGUCCGGCAUCGCACAAGCAGAAGGCCAGCUCAUCGCCACAACCCCACCCGGUCAAGCCGUUCCGCGAUCUCGCCUCUCCUCCAUGUAAAAGGAUCGCCAAUGAAACCCAUAUCGUCCAAACCACACUCCAUAGGACAAUCACCCCAUAAAGCCAGAUAUACUCAAAUACAAUACACUAAGCAGAAGUAGAUGAGGGGGCGUGACUUUGAGUACCAUCUAUCCGGGACAACAACAACAAUACACACCAUGAAUCCCCACCUCAACUCACCCAGGAGGAAGCAAUCCAUGACACUCUCACUUAUCUUGGCAAUUUUAAAGUAAUCGUUAACUUUGUCUAUGAUCAAGCAACAAUCUACAAAUCGUUAAAGAUUUGAAAGCACACUUGCUCCCUUGGUGGUUUUGGUAAUUCAUGUCAACAUACAUAUUGUUGGACUAACACUUCUACCUAGUAUAUUUCAAAUAAGUUCAACAAUGGCAUUACAAGGACAUGAGGAUGUGGACCCCUUCAAAAUACCAAGGACAUGAAAUCGGCAAAGUUCCAAGGCUCUUUAUUUUUGGUUAAGUGAUCCAGAUCACAUUGAGUCCUAUAGGGAAGCCAAUACUAUUAAAAGGGGAUGAGGUACUGUUGAUGAGUUUGUUGCUCAAGUGCUUAGUGGUAUUGCUCCAAAACCCUCCACCACAUUCUCCACAUCACAUUUGUCCAACCUCUAAAGUAUCAUCUCGGUCCCACCAAAAAUCUCUAUCCCGGACUCACCGAGUUGAUCACAUACACUGCAAGAGCCAAACCCUAACAUUUCGGUUCUACCAAUAUGGAUCUCGGUCUCACCAAGAUGGUGUGACCAAGUUUCUGUGAAGAAGUUGCUUCAUUUCGGAAUUACCGAGAUGAAACGAUCGGAACUACCGAAACGAGGUCUUGCCCUAGAAAUUGCACUUCGGUCGCUCCGAGGUGUUCUGCUUCGGUCUCACUGAGGCCUCCAACGUUCGAAUCUUUUGCACAGACCGAUCUCACCGAUAUUUUGGUCUGGUGUCACCGAGUUGGGUCAAAAGGUUGUAACAGUUGGAUUUUUGGUUGAAGCCUAUAUAUACACCUCCACCCCCACUUACUCUCUAAGGGAGCCAUCAGGACGAAACAUAAUUUCCAUCAUUCAUUUUCUGAGAGAGAGCCACCUACUCAUGUGUUGAGAUCAAGAGAUUCCAAUCCUACCAUUUGAACCUUGAUUUCUAGCCUUCCCCAAGUUCCUUUUCACUCAAAACCUUCUCCUACCAUAGCCAAAUCUGUGAGAGAGUGAUUGAGUAUUGGGGAGACUAUCAUUUGAAGCACAAGAGCAAGGAGUUCAUCAUCAACUAUGCAUCCAUUACCUUUUGGAGAGUGGUGUCUUCUAGAUUUGGUUAGGGGUCACUUGGGAGCCUCCAAGAGAUUGUGGAGUUGAACCAAACAGUUUAUAAGGGCAAGGAGAUCGCCUACUUUGUGAAGAUCUACCCGAGUGAGACUAGUCCUUCAUGGGCGUAAGCCACGAUGGAAUAUACAAGGUCGCUUCUUCAUGGAUCCUUCGUGGACUCGCGCAGCCAUUACUCCCCGUGGGUUGAAGUCUUCAUCAACAUGGAUGUACGAUAGCACCACCUAUCGGAAACACGACAAAAAUCACUGUGUCUUCAUUGCGUUUGAUCUUCCAUCUCUACCCUUUACUUUCCGCACAAUUGCAUGCUUUACUAUUUUUGCUUCCCUAUCUCUAGAUAUGCAUGUGUAGGAAGUCUCGGUGAUAUCUUAACUAGUGCCAAAAUCUGGCUAAUUUUCAAGAGAACUAAAAACUGCACCUUUGGUUGGUUAAGAGUCUAUUCANNNNNNNNNNNNNNNNNNNNNNNNNNNNNNNNNNNNNNNNNNNNNNNNNNNNNNNNNNNNNNNNNNNNNNNNNNNNNNNNNNNNNNNNNNNNNNNNNNNNNNNNNNNNNNNNNNNNNNNNNNNNNNNNNNNNNNNNNNNNNNNNNNNNNNNNNNNNNNNNNNNNNNNNNNNNNNNNNNNNNNNNNNNNNNNNNNNNNNNNNNNNNNNNNNNNNNNNNNNNNNNNNNNNNNNNNNUUCUCCGAUCCUACAAGAUUUAACCUCCAUGCAAGAGAGAGGUCGGAGGUAGGAGGCGAUUCGCAGGCCCAUGGGAACAUGGCCCUCUCUCUCUAUCUCUUUAAACUAUGUUUUCUUAUUUAAAAACUCCUUUAUUGAUUUAUAGGAGGGUUCAAAACGCAUCAAAAAAUCCUGAAACUUUUUUUAUGUAGCCUCACUGGUCCAAGUCAAAGCCACAUAAAUUAUUUCAGCAUUUUCGGGUGUAUAUUUCUAUUUCAAAUAUAUAUACUCAACUAGCUAUGGUUUAGGGUUUAAACCAAAAUCCAGAGUUUAAUUCCCUUUUAAUCCUUAAAAGCUUUGGGGAGAGCCUCUUACCAAAUUGUUAGUGCUUUAAAGGGUGUGUUGGACCGUUGGCAAGAUUUAGGGUUUUAUCCCUUUAAAAAGGACAACGGUUUAGUUUUAUCCUCAAUUCACAAUUAGACAAAUGAUGUUAAUGAGAUGCUUAUGGUGCACAAUCAAUUCCUAAUUACUACUACUAAUCUGGGAAUGCCACACGUUUAGGAUAUAUUAGCUAAUCCAUGCUUAUCCUCGAACAUGUAGGAUGGUAACACAAUGUAUGCUUUGCAAAUAAGAAAUGAAUGCAUGUUCUAAGGCCAACUCCACCGCGCGACCCCAAACGGACGUCCGUUUUGUCCGGAUUCUGUCCGUUUGGGUAGGGAUUUGGGGUCGUGUCCAGGCGUCCUGGGAUGCGGUGGCCGUGCGCCCAGCGCGCGGACACAUCCCGGCCGCAUCCUGUCCGCGUGCAUUUUUCUUUGCAACUCCUUAACUUGUUUUUUAUCAUUCAUUUUUGGUACAUGACAAUACAUCAUCACAUUUUGACUAGUAAAGUAAGGCCAAAGAAAAUAAGAACAACAAGAAUACAUUUUAGAAGAUACCCAACUUCCAUAACUGCUCCCUUGAGUUGGGUUAGGGCCUUCUCGAUGCACUCAUUGUUGAUCUGUGGAGGAGGCUCGAUGUUGCACCCUCCUUUCUUCUUCAAGCCAGAAGUCGAUGUUGCUUCCUCACACCUAGUCUCAUGUCUAGCCUCUAAUCUAGCAACAAGUGCACUUGUCUCAUCUACAACCUCUAUGCUAGCUAAAAGUGCACGAACAUGUACUAAAUUUCGCUCUAUCAAUAUAUCGAUGUACUCUUCUUCCCAAUACCAAAACUUGCAUCCAUUCUACACAAUAAAAUUUGAAGUUAGCACAACUAGUCUAAUCCGAGAGCACAAUCCGAAGCUAAAAAGAGCACAUACCCCAUCGUUUAAGCACUUGAUGAACACCCAUCCGGGAUGUUCCGGCGUUGUAGACACGCGGCACAUGACCAUCCUUGGGCAGUGGUCACACUUAAUGAGUGGCAACGGUGCGCCGACGAGCUUUUGGGCAAGCACCGAGCCCGGCCGGCCGCCAUUCGUGUAUCUGCCGGCGGACCACCGACGGUGCAGAUCCGAACGGCUAGAGGAGGAGCCACUGCCUGCAUGUGGCCUUGCGGCCAUACCAGGGCCUUCCGGCGAGGUGCCCGCCCAGUCCAUGGCGCGGCACAGCCUCCCACAACCGGGCGAGCUCAAGACCGACCAGAUCCGCCCCAAAUCCGGCCGGCGGGUGCGCAAACCAGGUGGCCGUGGUUGGGUAGCUCGGCGGCGCCGAGGGGAAGGGGUUGGGCGAGCGCGCGUCCGAGCUGCACGGCUGCAAUGGCAGCGGCGGCGGCGGCGAGGGAAAGAGUGGGGAAGAGUGGAGUGGGGUGCGGCCGAAGGGAGGGAGGGGGCGGAUAGAAAAAGGCCCGCCUUGUGCCACCGACGGGCGGGCUAGGGGAGGACACGCGCAGACGGCCGGCGCGUGCGCGUGGUGUCCGUUUCACCCCAAAAACAGCGCAAACUUGGGCCGGGGAUAGGUCGAAAGCGAACACAAAACGGAAAAGUCCGUUUGCUCCCGCGCGCUGGGCCGCCCGGGUUGUCCCUUUUACUCCAAACGGACGGGGACGGACAGGAUAGGGUCGCGCGGUGGAGUUGGCCUAAGAAGGAAAUCGUCAUCUUCCUAGCUAGUUCUGGCAUUCACCAUUUUGCCCUCGGUUUGUUUUUGGGUCCUGAUUGCAGAAUGGUGUAGAUGAAGCAGGCUUUUUGGAAGCUCAUUCUGAUGGAGGUUGAAUGAAGGACUGCUAUACCAAUACAGAUGCUUUAUUGUGCUUAUGACGUCACUUAUGUCCAUAUUCUUACCAUGCGUCAAUUAUCUUACAACUUCAAUAUCCUAGAUAUCAUUGUUUGUCAUUAUUACAUUAUCGUUUAUAAUUUCCUCGCCACUUGCUGUUAUUGAUGAUGUAUAGCAUUCAGAGGCCGAUUCGCAUGGAAGACAUAUAUAAACCACAUCCUAAUAUGUGAUCUGAAGAUAUUAUUUAUCGAUUUGCUUGUUUCCAUUGUAAUUUAUCCCCUUUUUACUAACACUUCCUUCAGCCAUGGUGACGCACACAUCUAAAUUAUAUGCAAUAUGAUUGCGAUUAUUUUCCAAUGUGUGAAAACAUACAGGCAUGGGUACACAUAUAUCCUGUCCUCUCCUUUCCUCCUACCCUAAUCUCCUUAGGAGCCCUCAAAGGCAUUUAGGAUCUCCUCAUCGACCCUUAGGACAGCUAGUUGUUGGCACCAUCUCACAACUGUACACAUAAGAGAGGGAGAAAGAGAGUUACCUAAGUGGAACCACAAAGGGCUCAGUGGAAAUUGGAUUCAUGCAUUUGCUAUGUUAUUCGUCUGAGAUAAGAGAAUUACAAGCAGCAAGAGCACAUUGUAUGCACACUCAAGUACCAACGAAAAUACCGAGUAGCCUCACACCAUCAAAAAGACACAAAACAUAUAUCAUAUGAAUCGGUACCAAACACCACAGAAUAGAUAAGGAUACAGUUUUAAACAACGAUAAUGUCCACAUAAACGCCUUAAUAGACACCAUACAAUACAAUUAGUACGAUACAGUUAAAAACCAUAGAAUAAGUACCAAGUCAUUUUAAACCACAAUCAUGUCCCAC
Molecule: long non-coding RNA, 44782 nt
Filed under: Triticum aestivum (bread wheat)
Lineage: Eukaryota; Viridiplantae; Streptophyta; Magnoliopsida; Poales; Poaceae
Description: long non-coding RNA (TAES_LNC009415)
Rfam family: MIR1120/MIR1122 microRNA precursor family (bases 1014-1128)
Source: RNAcentral